Molecule: long non-coding RNA, 74233 nt
Filed under: Medicago truncatula (barrel medic)
Lineage: Eukaryota; Viridiplantae; Streptophyta; Magnoliopsida; Fabales; Fabaceae
Description: long non-coding RNA (MTRU_LNC005926)
Rfam family: MIR2619 microRNA precursor family (bases 44984-45149)
Source: RNAcentral
UGCCGGUUCUUCCCCUUCGAGGGUAAGGGAAAUUGCUCGAUCCCCCAAGAAUUUGACGCGCCAAUUGAGGUUUCGAGUCAGGCUCACCUAAAUCAUUGUAGACAUCGUAAUCAUAUAUUCUUUCCCAUUCCUUGCGCUCUCCUGUUCCAUCUCCUCUUAAAGUCUUCAAUUCUUCUUGUCUAUAGUACACUAAUGGAGCUGGUGUUUCACUUGGAAGGUAUGUCUAUAUUUUAAAUCAUAUGAAGGUGUCAGAUUUUGGGAACUAUAGUUUAUAUUUAACAUGCAAGAUAAAUAUGGUAUAUUCAUUACCUUGUUGGCAAAGAAGAUGCGUUCAGUUUUGUAGUUUUGAGCAUUGUAAAUCCAUGAGUUGCAAACAAAGUUGAUGGUUCCAUGGUUGGGAACAUCUUCAAGGGUCAAACUUACAAGAAAGAAUUCUCUUUGCUUGCGAUUCUUAAUAUAAAAUGCUCCUGGAAUUCCCAUGUCACUAUCCCAUUUAAAAUGAACAUCAAAUUCAGAUUGCCCUGCUACAUUCAAAGACGUUUCUUUUCCGACUUUACCUUUUCCACUUUCUACAAAUAAAAUAUGUCACAAUUUUGUUUUUCAAUUUCAGUAAAGGUUUAUAAAAAAAAAAAAUCAGUUAUGAUAAUUCUCAAAUGAAAAAUUAUAGCUAUUAAAAAUCUAAUUCUUUUUAUAAAAAAUUAACAAAUACUUGUAAGACAAUUUUUUAAAGAAAUUAUAAUAAUAAAAAAUGAAGAACAUGUGUAAUAUUUUAUCAAAAUUUUGUAAAAAAAAUAGUAAAAUCUAUCUUUGAAACACAUGUUUAUAUUUGACGUUCUCUAAACAUAGAAACCAAUUGUGAGUUUAAAAUAUGAGAACUUUUACUGUAUACUUGCAAAUUAUGUUUGUAGACAGUAGUGUGAGAGACUAAGUAAUUAUAAGCAAAAAAAAAUAAGUAAUUACCAUCAGCACUAGUAGAACUAAUCAACCUGAGAUCCACGGAACUGGCCAUAAUAUAGGUGUCAAUUAUAUAGCUAAUGAUACCAUGAACAAGAUUGAUAACACCUUUGAUUAAACCAGCGGGACUUGUAGCUGAAGUGAGGGAGUCUAUAUCAAACACAUUCUUUUGCAUCAAUAUCACUGUCCCCUUCACCAUUUGGCUUCUGUGAAAUGGAUUUGGAAACAUCUUUGCAACUUUGUGCACUUUCUGCUUUUCUGACAAAUGAAAGAAAACCUAGUGGCUUGCAAGUUUCUAUUCUAAUUUUGUUUACACUCUCACUCUUACUAUAUAUAUAUAUAUAUAUAUAUAUAUAUAUAGUAAGUCUUGCAAAUCAUGGGGGCUGCAUCCAGCACGUCAACGACCUAGGUCAAUACAGCAAGGUAAUUAAAAUCAAACCAGUCGGUUGAAACGGUACCUUUGAGUUUGGUUGGAUAUUGCUUUUCCUCUAGUUAAUAAUACUAGUUUGGUUCCUCUAGUUAACAUCUGUACCAAAAAAAAAAAUAUUUGUUUAACAUUUAAAUUAUUUUAAAAUAAAUUAAUAUAAAAAUAUUACAUGACAUUGAUUGAUUGGAUGAUGAGUAUAUAUCUAUUAAAAAUUGUAUAGGUGAUAGAGUGUUGAGUAGUUGAGAAUUAAUGAAGUAACGAUAUCAUAAGUAUAAAAGGCAAAAGGAUAAAAAUUGCGAGUAAAAUAAUAGUUUGGUUUAUUGUGUGUCAAUCAAAAUUUACACGUGAACUUAUAGAUAAGGUGACAUAACAUGUAAUUCUAUGUCAUGUUAAAAUUGAGAUUUUGCUUUAGAUCGAAAGAGAUCAGCAAAAUCGACAAUCGUUAAAUCGCAAUUAAAAUUGAUGGAUUUUAUCAAAAAUAUAAUAUUAAAUAUAUUUUAUAAAUGGUAUAUAGUGAUAAAUGACUUAGAUUAUAAUAAAUUGUAAGACCGCAAUCAAAAUCGUUGAAUUUUUCUUAUUUUAGAAUUAUACUAUGGGUUUGAGUCGUUAAAGAUGAAAAAAGUCACAAAAUCUUAAAUUUUAAGAUUUAAGUCGGUAUUUUAACAAGUCUUAACAUCAUGGCUUGCAAAUUCAACAUUGAUUGUUGUUAGAGUAAAUUACACUCCCCUCCCCUCAAAGAUGCUUGAAUUACAUUCCCCUCCCCUCUUAAGUUAAAAUAUACAAUCCCCUCCCCUCUUAUUCAAAACAUAUUAGAGAAAAUUUCACUCCCCUCCCCUAAGAGAAGCUUGAAUUACAUCCCCCUCCCCUCUUAUGUUAAAAUCUACACUUUACCCCCUCAAUAUUCUUUUUUAUUAUUUCUAAUAAUCUAGCAAAAAAUAAUAAUUUAACACACUUAAAAAAAUAGUAUUGCGAGUCUGUUUUAAUAUAAUAAAAAGUUGAAUACAUAUUUUUCGCUAUUUUUUAUUCACAAUUUCAUUAACAUGUAGUUUUAAACCCUAUUAUAAAAUAUUAAACAACCCAAAACAAAAUUAAAAUAUGUGAAAAAUUACUAAAAUCAUUAAGGCAUGAUUAUUUAGAAGUUAAUUUUAUACUCAGAUUUAUAAAAUCAAUAGCAAUAUAUUUAAAUUUAAUUAUCAUUGACAUUUAAACUAUAAAGAAAUGAAUUAAUUUUUCUUAAAUGGUGAUUCAAAAUUAAUAUAUAUUAUAAGAAUAUUUAAUUAUGUUCAAAUAGAUUAAAGUGUAGUGCAUAUUUAAUUAUUAAGGGAAUGGUUUGUAAUUCAAGCAUCUUAUAAGGGAGGGGAGUAUAAAUUUUAACAUUAGAAAAAAAUAUUGAGGGAGUAAAAUGUAUAUUUUAACUUAAGAGGGGAGGGGAGUGUAAUUCAAGCAUCUUUGAGGGGAGGGGAGUGUAAUUUUUUAUUGUUUUGUAUUGAUCCACAUGUUUAUUUAGAUGUAUCAUUUUUCCUAACAAAUCCAAAUGUUUAUAUUCAAGAUCAAAGCUAAUGUAUUAAAAACAAAAAAUAUCAAUUAUUGCUGGUCCUACCACGGUUUAAUGUCAAUAACUUAGUUUAGAAAUCACACUUGAAACCCAUUCAAUGUUAUCCACCACUAUAGUCCUUGUAUGAAAAUGCAUUUUCACAUCUACAUUUUCCCAUGGUAUGAAUGGGGAGACUUGGAGAUCAUCAUCAAGCAUUGACUCAAACACAAGGCUUGCACUGUUGGAGAAAAAUGCUAUUAUUAUCCUAAAUUAUUGUUAGUAAUUAUUCAUAUUACGCAGAUUGAUAUCCAAUCCCUCAACUUCAUUCACACACACACACAUAUAUAUAUAUAUGCACCAUGAAGUACACACCUCUCUAAGUGUGUCACGGUGUCCGACACCAGUGCCGGAGCCAGAAAAAAAUGUUUGGGUGGGCCGCUAAAAUAAACUAUAAACAAUAAUAUGUAAACAUAAAAUUAAAGUACUAAUAAGCAUUAAGCUUGAAGUUGAAAUUGCAAAGUUUGACUAAAAAGCUCGGGUGAAUGCUUUAAAAAAACAAAUUACAUAUUACUAAUGCUAUAAAUUAUGAUUUUUUUAUUUAUUUUAUAAUACAACUCUUAAUUGGAGGAAUUUUUUACAAAACAAUAUAAAAGAGAUUUGAAACCACCAAAAAUUAAAAGGUCUGUAAACCUCCGUUAACUAGCCAAGUAUAAGCAUAAAAAAAAAAAUCACAUAUGUCACUUUUGGAACCACCGAAAAUCUAAACGGUUGAAAAAUUGUUUAAAAUCUCGCAAAGCUGACUUAUGAUCGUCGAUUUUUUACUUUUUCCGGGUGGGCUGUGGCCUACCCCGGCCCUUAAAGGGCUCCGCCUCUAUCCGACACACGUCGAUAUUUGACAUUCAUAUGACACUCAUAUACAACACAUGUUGAACCAACUCAGUCUAGUGUCCCAAAAAUUAAUCAUUAUUUUAUUUUCUUCGACACACCUUGAACAUAUUUCUAAGGGUAUCUACAAGAUUAAAGAUGUGUGAAAUCAAUAUUGAUCAAUGAGGUGGUUAAAGAAAUUAAUAUUUUUAACAAAAUUUUAAUAUUUUUUGUUAAAGAAAUACAUUGCUCAAUUUACAUGUAUAUAUUUUGAUUCUCGCUUUAGCUAUUUUAUAAAUAAUACUAAUAUAUGAUUUGAUUAUAAGAAAUUAAUAAAUAUAUAUGUUGCGAUGCCAAAGUCUUAUGUUUUUUAAUUUUUACAUUGACGAUAUUAAUAUAUCCGUGUCAAUGUCAUGUGUCAAGUGUUCAUGUCGGAAUACAUGUCAUAAAGAGUGUGUGUAUAUAUAAUUCAAGAUCUUUAUUCAUAUAAGAUUUGCCGCGUUGUAGUUUUAGUUACUUCUUAGUUAAGUUUACUUGUUUGACUCAUAAGUUUAUUAUUAGUUGUUGAGGUAUGAAUUAUAUGUUAGUAUAUCAACUGUGAGUAAGAGUUCCAUAUUAAAAAGUGUAUGAUGAACGUAUUAUAAUUGAGAUGAUCUCUAAUUUUAAUGUCUUCAAAUUUUGGGUUAAAGUAUGUUGUCAACCACACAUGUAUCGAAAAUUUGCACUCCAAUUCUAUGAUAAAUGCUCAUCUUUCAUAAUCGACCAAUAUUCAUUCAUGUUAACUGUAUAUGUCAUCAUUCACAUUAUAAAUUUUCACUCAACUACUCCUUAGCUUGCCAGCGAACAUCUCUUCCAUGUCAGAAACCCAUCAAUAGCAGUUACACACCUAUAGAUAAGAUCCAUUAACCAAUAUCCAUGACAUUCAUACAUACUUAGUAAUUAAGAUUUAAGACCAUUGCAUUAUAGCAAUAGACAUAAGUCAGCAAUUCAAAUAAAGGUUAUAACCACAUUAUUGUACGUAAGUAACAUAACUAAGUGCAUGCUUGAUAUGCAGUGAAAUUGAAAGCAGACAAGAAAAUGCAGCAAUGAUAGGUUGACACUCUUAGGGUGUGUUUGGUUGUGGAGAGAGAGAAAGUGAUAAGAGAGAAGUAGGUGAGAGAGUUUGAGAAGAGAGAAAGAUGUGAGAAAUAAAGAUAGUGUUUGGUAUAAAAGAAAGAGAUAAGAAAUUGAGAAGAGAGAAGUGUUGAUUAUUUUUAAAAGUACAAAAAUACCCCUUAAAAUAAAAAUCUUUUCCUAAAACUACUCUAUUUUAUAUUUAAUUAAAUUUAUGAAUUGAUUAGUUUAAUUAGUUAUCUGGGUUAUUUUACUAAUAAUAAUAACAAGGUAAGUUAAUUAAUUUAAUUAUUAUUUAAAUAAGCCUAUUGUGAAAAAGAAAGAAAGAAUCACGUGACAACAUUGCAUAAAAGACAAAAAAAAUGUGUUGUUCUCUUAAAUUAAAGGGCAUAAAAGACAAAAUUAAAGCAACAAAAGAGUAACUUCUCUUCCGUUUCUUCGCUAAUUAGGGGAGAACAAAAAAUGCAUGGGACCCACCAAUUUUGUCCCUCUUCUCUCUUUCUCACCUUUGUCAAACUAGAGAAAUGCCACACUUCUCUCCUCUUUCUCUCCUUAGUCUCUCUCUUCUACAUUUCUCCACUACUAAAGAGAGUUUUAAUGUAUACACUCUUUUGCAUUACUUUAAAAAAAUUAAAGUUAACCAAAUAUAUAGUUUAUGUGACCACGUUUUUUUAGUUACGUGGCCACUAUUUUUAUGACAUACAUGCUCAUAAUAUAUUACUCAUGUUUAAUUAAACUAAAUAGAUCUUUUUUGGGACUAAAUAGAUCUUAUAUCUUAUAUCAUAAGCAAACACUUGGAUUUUUCCACUGUAGGGCCCACAUGGUACUUAAGCAAUUGCCAAGUCAAAAUAUAUAUGUUUACUUAAACUAAAUAAAUCUUAUCUCUUACCACUAUCGGGCCCACAUGGUACUUAACGCAAUUGCCAAGUCUUUGAUGCAUCCCCUCAAAAACAAUCUUGAUGCAUUAAAUGGAUGCUUGUAUUUUUUCCUUUUAUAGAAAAACAAAGUCUUAAAUUAAUUGGCACCACGCAGAAAGUUUGGAAAGCUCUUGACACACAAUCAUUUUGGGUUCUUGACGUUUGGUAGAAUAGGAGUGCAUGACAUAGCAACUGUGAAAUCAUUGGUAUAACUUUUAGGUGGCCAGAUAAUAUAAAAAACUAAACUUGAUCAUAAGCAAACACUUUCACAAUAAUUUUUACUUCCAUAAAAAAAGGUUUGAACAGCCUUUGAAUCAAUGACUUCUAAGAUGUAAAUCGAUGCCUAUUAUUCGUUGAACUUUGAAGGAACCAACGGGUAGCACUUGGAUGACAUAGAGUUGGGUGACAUUGACCAAUCACAAUGUCAUAAUGCUUGUGUUUCUCUCUCUUUCACAAGUAUUGUGACAUUAUAAUUGACUAAUGUCACUAAUGUCAUCCAACUCUAUAUCACCCAAAUACUAUCCUGAAACCAACCUUGUGAGUGAAGCUGAGUGAAAAAAAUAUUAAACUUUAUGAUAAGCAAACACACGUUCAAAAUAUAUUUUUUACCUCUCCUUCCAAUUUAUUUACUUUUUUUUACUUUAUCAUAUGGAGCUUUUGUUAAGUACAAGGUGGGUCCUAUAUAUUAUUCGAGUGAUGGGAGUGGUGUAAAAUUGGUCUUCUAUCAACUAGAUCACUCCCAUACAAACUGACGAAAAUAUCUCUAACGUAACUUAAAUCAAUCUGAAAGGGAGCGUGAGUUAACUCACACUGGGCUUGCGUUCAGGACCAGAACAUCAUAAACAUCUUUUUCAAUAAUUUUCUUCAUUCCUUCAUUCAUACAUACAUCCAUUUCUGUCAAAAAUACAUGUUUUCAUCAUUCAUUUAAUGAUUCAUUCAUUCACUCAUAAUUUAAAUAAAAAAAAUAAACGAAAAUUAACAAAAAUGUCAUAAAAAAACGCAAACGCGCAAAUGUAAAUAUAUAUUGCAUCCAUAUCUACCAAAGUGUAAAAAAUACAUCUAAAUAUACACAAAUGUUAGGAAAACACUAUAUAUAAAAAAAAAAUCUACUCCUAUGGACUAUGGCUCCUAGUCCUCCGCGGAACCGGCUCCUCCUGAAGCAUGCGAUACUCCGACCAGAUUCCCUCCAUAAUUUCAUCAUUAAAAAUGCUAAAAACAAACAUAUUUUCAUGUGUUAAAUAUGUCUUUAGUCCUUACAUUUUGCGCCCCUUUGAAGAAUAGUUCCUACAUUUCAUUAAAUGUUUUUAAAAUCCUCACAUUUUCUCUCUGUUAUCAAAAUUAGUCCUUGCUGUUAAUUCUCCAACGGAAUGCUGAUGUGGCAGUUAGUGGGUCCCAAUUAUUUUAAGGUUAAAUAUGUUUUUUGUCUGUACAUUUUGCGUGACUUUGAAAAUUAGUUUUUACAUUUCAAUAAAUGUUUUUAAAAUCCCUAAAAUAAUAAGGACUAUUCUUCAAAGUCACGCAAAAUGUAGGGACCAAAAACAUAAUUAACCUUAAAAUAAUUGGGACCCAGUAACUACCACAUCAACAUUCUAUUAGAGAAUCAACAACAAGGACUAAUUUUGAUAACGGAGAUAAAAUGUGAGGAUUUUAAAAACAUUUAAUGAAAUGUAAGGACUAUUCUUCAAAGUCACGCAAAAUGUAGGGACGAAAAACAUAAUUAUCCCUAAAAUAAUUGGGACCCAUUAACUGCCACAUCAGCAUUCCGUUAGAGAAUUAACAAUAGGGACUAAUUUUGAUAACGGAAAUAAAAUGUGAGGAUUUUAAAAACAUUUAAUGAAAUGUAAGGACUAUUCUUCAAAGGGAAGCAAAAUGUAAGCACUAAAAACACAUUUAACCCUAUUUUGAUUGAGACAUUUUAUCAAACACCUAGAGUUCAACAUAAUUUCUAACAAUUCCUAACUCUAACCUAACUCUAACGUACCAUAUUUCAAUCAAACCUACUCUAAUCAACUUCUAAAAAACAAUUUAUAACUUAAUUUAUCAUUAACAAUAAAAAUAUCAAACAUGCAAAUCAACUCUAAAACUUAAAAUUUCACAAUUUCAUCCAAAAAAAAAAAAACUAACAUUUAAACCCAAAAAACCCAAUGCAAAAGGUUAGAUAGCACUUGUGAUGGAAGUAGAAUUUGAUAUUGAUUUGAUUGAGUUCGGUGAAAAUCGCACAAAGUGGGAGAAAUUUCAUAAAAAAUGAGUUUGAAACACAAUGGUUAUAUUUUUGUCUGUUGUCGUUCUAUAAUAACACGCAAUGUGAGUUAAGUCACGCUGGGUUACAACGUAUGUGAGUUAAUUCAUGUUGAAUGUACCGGGCGUGACUUAUGUCACGAACGUGGGGGUACUUUCGUCCAUUCAGUUGGGAGCGAGUAUUUAUUGAUGGGAGAAGAGCAAUUUUCUAAAAACUUUGGGUGUGGUGGAAGAUUCUAAGUGAGGGUUGUAUGUUCUGUUAUGUUAAAAUAACGGAUAACUGAUAAGUUUGCUGAUAGCUGAUAGUUUAUAGCUGAUAGAUGUUGGUUGAUGGCUGAUAACUUAUAGUUUAUAGUUAAUGACUAUUGACUGAUGUUGAUAAGCUAGUUAAAGUGUGCUAAAAUUAACGGUUCAAUUAACUGAUAAAUAUAAAUUGACAUAAAAUGAAUUUUUUUUAUUCAUAAUACUUUUUUGAGAGGACCAAAGCCCAAUUUAAUUGAAAAAUUUAAUAAUUAGAAUUUAUAAAAAAAAAAAUCUGAAAAUAAAAUGUUUACUAGACUUUCCACCCGUGCUGCCGCACGGGUCAUAUACAUUGUAGAUAUAGUAGACAAAAACAAAUCUCAAUGCAUAUCAAAGAGAAUGAAAUAUGUGGUCCCAAAUAUAUGCAGAUGUUGGAAUUCGAACCUCAGACACCACGCUUAUUCACCAAAAAAAUAUUAAUUUUUAUCAAUCGUGUGUUACUUCAUUCCUUUGUUAAAAUUAUAUGUCAAUAUUAUAUUAUUGGUAUGUUACUUCAUAUUUUUCUUUUUUUUUUUGAAAAAAUGUUACUUCAUUCUUUUGUAAAAAUUAUAUGUUAAUGUUAUAUUAUGUACCUAAAAAUAGUUCAUUCUUAACCUCAACAUGUAAAAUGUUUUAUUUAAAUAAUUUUCCUUUUAUCGAAUAUUUGGCCUUUACCGUAAAUGAUACCCUUUAACUGUUUGUUGAAAUGUUUCUUCCACCUGUUUAUAUAGAUUGCAAAAUUCAGGUGCAUUUUGUGGUAAAUAUUUAACAAAGAGAGUUCAAUUCUAAUUUGGAUGAAAAGUGUAAUAUUAACAAAAAAAAAUGUUGCUAUAAUCUUUCAAAACCCUUUUAUUCCAAUAGGGCGAUUUGUUUUGUUGAAGAAAUAGGGCGAUUUGUGUUUUGAAGAAAUAGGGGAAAUAAAGCGAUGCCGAUUUGCUUUGUUCAUGAAAAUAGGAGAUUAGGUGUGAGCAUUAGCGUUGUUCAUGAAAAUAGAAGAUUAGGUGUGAGCAUUAGGGUUAAAACGGUAAAAUUAUGCAACAGGGUUUAGGUUAAAAUUAGGGCUCAUGAAAAUAUGAGAUUAGGUGUGAGCAUUAGGGUUGUUCAUGAAAAUAUAAGAUUAGGUGUGAGCAUUAGGGUUAAAACGGUAAAAUUAUGCAACAGGGUUUAGGUUAAAAUUAGGGCGCAUGAAAAUAUGAGAUUAGGUGUGAGCAUUAGGGUUGUUCAUGAAAAUAUAAGAUUAGGUGUGAGCAUUAGGGUUAAAACGGUAAAAUUAUGAAAUAUGAUUUAGGUUAAAAUUAGGGCUUACGGGUUACCUUUAAUAUAUAAGAAGAUUAGGUGAGAGCAAUAGGAUUGUUCAUGAAAAUAGGAGAUUAGGUGUGAACAUUAGAGUUAAAACAGUAAAAUUAUGCAAUAGAGUUUAGGUUAAAAUUAGGGCUUACUUGUUAACUUUAAUAUAUAACUUUAAUAUAUAAGAAGAUAAGCCCUUAACUUUGCCAAAUCCCCAAAUUGAUUCAACCAAAUUCUUCCUCCCCAAAUUGAAUCAUCAUGCAUCAUUCCUUCAUUAUAUGUCAAUUAACCGGUUGGUAUGAAGUAGAAAAUCGAGCGAUGUUGCAUUAUUUCAUUUACCGAUACAUGCUUAAGCAAAGACCAAGAAAAGAGAACAUGGCAAUAGAGAUGGAAUGGUUCAUUACCUUUUUAGAUUGAAGAAUGGAUUGGGGAGUUACGAUUUUUUUAAAGAGAAAACUAGUUACAAACCCGUGCUUCGCACGGGUUCAAUAACGUUUUUGAUAAAAAAAAAUCGAAAGAAGAUAUGUUAAAACGACGGAACAUUAUGAUUCAUCAUAAAAUAUGUAUGGACUGGUUCCAAAGCAUUAUAAAGAUCUGCUGUAGAAAAAGGGCAUGUUCUAUUUUGUUCAAAAGAUUAUGAAAACAACAUUAUAAUUAACAUGAUACUAAUUUGAACCAAUGAAGAAACCAACAAUGUGCAGAUUAACGUUACAUAAUAGUUAGGUUUAUAAAAGAGACUCCAAGUGUCAAAGACUAACUAAAAAGAGAUUUUUGCCAAUAUUUACUUCAGACAAAAUGAAAAGAACAAAUGACAUCCCAAAGUCAAAAUAGUUUACGAUUACAGACCAAAGCGAUACGUCAAAAUAGUAGAAGUUCAAAUAGUUCAGCAGCAAAUAUCUACUUUAGAACAACUCGAACGUGCAAGUUCUUCGGUGACUUUUCGAGACCAAAUAUGAGCUUACCACCUUCUAUCAUCACACGUUCUCUGCAGAAAUUGAUCCAUAGCCCACCCAAGUAUUUUUCAUAGCUUGCUCUUUCGGCGGUAAUGAGGCGACACUUAUACUUUCUCUGUAUGCGAAUAUAGUUACAUAUAAUUUAUAAAAUAAAGGUAGCUUAACUGAUUUAAGCUAAAGAAAAUGUAUCAUGACUUCUAAUUUAUCUUCCUAUAAAGUCUAGAUAAAUACAUGUAUGUGCAUUAUAUGAACCCCGUUGACCAAUUAACAUUGUUGAAACAAAUGGAAAUUAAGCAUCACUCCCGCAUGUGCAUCUAUAGCUAGCACCAUUUGACAUUGAUGUCUUCGAACAUUUGGUGCAACUCUUAUAAUACCAUCCAAACUGGUUAGGAUUGAAUUUAGUUGUUUUCCAAAUAGUGAUGAAGUAUGUAUCCUAACCCAAAUUAUGCACAUGAAAUAAAGAAUAAUGCAAUAUGUAUUUUUAACUUGUGCAUCAAAAAACUCAAAGCAUGUUCGUGCAUAAAAAAAGCAGACCAUGACUAAGUUUAUAAAUUCAGUAAUUGGCCUAACCUGAGGCAGAUUGAAAAAAUCGUUGUACAAAGUACGUUGAGAAGAAGCCGAACUCUAACUUAAGUUAUGACUGAUACUUUGACUCUGAGCUUGAGAAGUGUUAAGGUCACGACAACAAUUCAAGAAACAUGGUCAAAAAACAAUCAAAUCAAAUUGUGAAAUAAUAAGUUACUCUAAUACUAUAUUUUGAAAUCAUAAUGCAAACUUACUAAGUCUUAAACUUCUCAACAACCGGAUAAUGUAGGUUGAUGAGCAGCCUCGAACCUGACCAAUUGUUACAUAUAUUUGGGUUGCCAAUGACUACAAAAUGGAAGAACUCAAGGUAAAUAGAUGGUAAAUGAUCAAGCUACAGAGUAUUUUUCCCAUAGUGUUACAUCAACUAUAUUCCCACUGCAUAAGGAAAGACAUCUUUCAGGUCAUUAUCAAACUUAUACAAAAUUCUAUCAUCUGACGUUGACAAAUUAGAAAAUAAUACCUUUUAUCUUUCAACACAAUGUUCGUACACGGUUUCUUUCUAGUCCCAAUUGGUGUUGUCUUGACAAUCUCAUGAAGAAGCCCGAUGAUUUCUUAAAAAAAAAUUACAUCUAUAAUAAUAUUAUAAUCGGAGAAAACAAAGAAAUAAAUUAAAGCACAUAACUAUAUCAUAUAAAAUGUCAGAUUUGAAUUUUCCAUCUUGAAUUUCCUUAAAUGACUUAAAACGAAAUUCAUGAGUAAGAACGUUAGUUAACUUGUCAUACUUCUGCACCUUUGUAUCAGAACCAAAAACAACCCUAAAGAGAUUAAAUACAAUGUCCUUAUCAAACACAUGACAAUUAUACAAAGUAUAAGUCUUGUUUUCCUCGAUCAAAGCCUUUCAAUGCUCCAAUUCUCUAUACCGAGUUAUUACAUGAACUCGAUCACCCUAAAUUCGAGAAAGAAACCAAAAAAUGUAAAUAAAUCAAAAUGUACACUAAUAAGUAACAUUGAUAAAUCAUAAAGGAAAUUACAACAAAUCUUAACUAACUCAUCUAAUCUUUGCAUCACAAAUAAUGAGCUUCAUAUGUUGAUUCUCAUUACUACCAUUUACAAUCCAAGAAUCCAGCACUCCAAAUCCUAUUUUCCAAAUGUCCAAAUCAUUUUUUAGAUCCUUAAUGUAGUCAUAAUCCCUUGACAUCGAAAGUCCUAUAUAAAGAUACAAUAAUACAUCAUUUAAUUUUAUUCCCUUUGUUCAUUCUGAUAUCGAAAGAAGCUAACAUAUCCUAUGUGAUCAAUUUUUGUAUCAUCAAAUCAACCUGAUCUUAAAUGCACAAAUUUCUGAAUCAUCAACUUUUUGGACGUCAAUGAUAUGACCAAAACAAAUUUCACCAAUCAACUUUUGUACGGCUCAAUCAUAUAGGAAAGAAUAAACCAAAUAUGAAAAUUGUUAUGGCUUUAUGAUUACUCACAAAAACUAAAAUAACCCACAUACAUCAAUUUUUUUUCAACCACAGUACCAGAAGCUAAAAUAACAAUUGUGUCAAAACCUUAUCAUGAGCUAAAAUUCAAUCAUCAUGAUUUAUCAAUGUUACUUAUUAGUGUACAUUUUGGUGUCUUUCAAAAAGAUAAGAAUUUAUAUUAUAUGAUAUUAUAUUUGUUACAUUGUUGGUGCCAUGGAAACAUAUAUGUUUAGUUUUUUCGAAUAAGAAGAAGAUAUGCAUAGUUUGUUAUAAUAUAAGGGUGCAAAAUAUAUAUAUAAGUAUAAUUUUUCUAGGCAUCUAGACCUUUUUUGAAGAUAAGAAUAAAAAUAAUCAUACGCAUUAUGCAACGUCAAAAAAAAUUAUACGCAGUAGCGUAACAAAAAAACAGACACAUAUAAAGUAUUACUCUAAGCGCUAAUAUGUGUGUUCGUAUAUAUUUGCGAGGUUGAAGAAAGAAAAUAAAAAUAUUUGGUAUCAUUAAAUGACAGCGUGAAUAAAAAUAUUUGUAAGGUUGUGAUGAUUAAACAAUAUUGAAUUUAAAUGUAUAAGUGAUAAAAAGAUAAUAAAAUUCCUUUGAAAAAAAAGGUAAUAAAAUUAAAUGGGACCUCCUUAAAAAAAAUUAAAUGGAACGAUUCCAAAAAAAAUUAAAUGGAAGAAAAAAUCAUAUUGAAAUAUAAUAUUAAAAAAUAAAAGAAAAGGUUCCCAGUGUGAGUUGAAAAGAUGUGCUUUUGAAAUAAAUUGUCGAGAAGUAGUUUUUUAAAGUAACAUUCAACAACUUUUGGCCAAAGCUCAUUCCAUUCAAUUUUAUGCAUUAAAAAAAAAUUACUUUUUGUAGUAAGUACUUAAUUGAUAUUGUGUUUGUGUUUGACCUAACUUCUCCUUAAAAAUGUAGAAAAGUUGGAAAAAAAGCCGGGUCAAACGAUACCUUAUUCUCCUACAACGGCAAUGUAGAAGCAACUUAAUUUUGGACAAAAAAUUGAAAAAUAGUUAAAAACAUAAAAAUUGGAAAUAAAAUAUUUGGUAUCAUUUAAUGACAGCGUGAAUAAAAAUAUUUGUGGAGUUGUGAUGAUUAAACAAUAUUGAAAUUAAAUAUAUAUGCGAUAAAAAGAUAAUAAAAUUAAAUGGAACAUUCUUAAAAAAUUAAAUGGAACGGUUCAAAAAAAAAAGUUAAAUGGAAGGAAAAAAACAUAUUGAAAUAUAAUAUUAAACAAUAAAAGAAAAGGUUCCCAGCGUGAGUUAAAAAGAGGUGCUUGUGAAAUAAAUUGUCGAGAAGUAGUUUUUUUAAAGUAACAUUGAACAAAUUUUGGCCAAAGCUCAUUCCAUUCAAUUUUAUGCAUUCAAAAAAAUACAUUUUUUUAGUAAGUAAAUAGCGUGAGUUAAAAAGAGGUGCUUGUGAAAUAAAUUAUCGAGAAGUAGUUUUUAAAGUAACAUUCAAUAAUUUUUGGCCAAAGCUCAUUCCAUUCAAUUUUAUAUUCAAAAAAAUUUCUUUUUUUUAGUAAGUAAUUAAUUGAUACUAUGUUUGACCUAACUUCUCCUUAAAAAUGUAGAAAAGUUGAAAAAAUAAAAACCGGGUCAAGCGAUACCUUAAUCUUCUACAACGACAAUGUAGAAGCAACUGAAUUUGGGAUAAAAAAUUAAAAAAUAGUUAAAGUUAUCAAAAAUAUAAAAAUUAUAAAAUAAUUAAAAAAAUUGUGAGGGGCAAAAUGGGAAAUGCACCCAUAUAAUGGUGAGGUGGCAACAACACAAUUCCACCAAUUAGAAAAUUACAAAAAUACCCCUCCUAGGGGCAAAAUGGGAAAUUUAUAGAGCAUCAACUUUAAUAGUAGUAAGUAUAUAGAUAAGAAGAUGAAUGUGCAUCAUCAUCUUAGAAUGACAAAACAAUUAUUCUUUUUCUUUUUAUGGAGGAACGAUGGAUGCUUCAAUUUGGGGAGGAAGAAGGAGGAAGGAUUUUGUGUGAAUCAAUUUGGGGAUUUUGCAAAGGUAGGGUUCUUCAAUUAUAAACAUUUUAUUUUCAGAUUUUUUUUUUUUUAUAAAUUCUAAUUAUUAAAAUUUUUAAUUUAAUUUUACUAUUAAUGAUGUGGAAAUGAUGUGUCUAAUAAUGGUAUCAUGUUAGCAAUGUAAUAUAAUGUCAUUAAUGAACGCGCUACAUCAUUCAAAAAAAAAAGGAGGACAAUAAAUUUUUGUUGACAUUUUAAAUAGGAGAUCAAAAUGUUGGUUUUAGAAAAUGGAGUAUAAAAAAUUAACAAAAUUGAGAAAUGGAACAAAAGAUAAUAAACUAUAAGUUCAAAUGUUAUUUAAAAUAGCGUCUGAAAAAUAAGUUAUAUUAGUUCGUUAUGAAAAGAGACAGAUGUCAAACAGGACUUUUUGAUCAAACGACUUAUAAGCUAUAAACUCUUCUCUAUAAGCUACCUCUUUGCCCAUAGCAAACAGACCCGUGAGUGUGGGGGGAGGAGGAUGGUUUUGUCCAAUAACACCACCAAUAGGCUUGCGGAUAAUUAUAGAUGGAGGAAGGGGGUAUGAGUAUGAUAGUUCCGGAAACACUUGGAGGGAGUAGGUAGGAAAUAGUUGGAUGCAGUAGGGAUUAGUAGAACAUGAAGAAGCAGAUGUGUUGAAUAAAGGAAGAAGGGAGAAAGCAACUAGUGAUCAAUGAUUGUGUUGAUUUAUAAUGAGAGGCUUGGAGAGAUCGAAAAGGAAAAUGAUUAACUAGUUGGUGCGCCAAAAAAAGGUAGAUGUCAGGGUGUGCUUGGAGUGGAGAUUCUUAAAAAAUGUUGCUUUGACAAUAAUAUAUAUUCUAAAUGUGAUAUAAUGGCAAAGACGAGGUUGUGCGGGAAUCUUUUGAUGGUUAGAAAUACUUUGUGAGAAGGAGAAUGGUGUUCGAUGGAUGAUUUAAUACGCGUGUAGUUCGGAAAGGGGGAAGGGGAAUAAAUUUGGAAGCUUCUUUGGGACAACAGUUAGAAAUGAAUAUUUUCAAUAAGGGAGGUGGACUUGGUGGAUGUGACCCCUCUAGAUCGUAGAUUUACUUGGUAUAAUUUAAAUGGGAGUGCGAUGAGUCAUAUUGAUAAAGGUCAAAUUAAAAGAAAAAAUGUUACAAUAAAACACAGUAUUUAUUUAAGGGGAAAAUAUUUUUUUUAUAAUGUCGAAGUUACAUGCUAACAUGAUACGACACUGUUUUAAUUCGAAGGUGUGUUAAAACCUAGCAGCAGAUCAAAGGUACAGUACAACCACAAACCCAAGGUUACUUGCUUUCCAAGGCCACAAAAGGGACCUUUAACUCUGCUAUACUCUAUUUUGUGUAAAAUAGAGUGCACAUCGAUCUUCCCCUCAGAUAUACACUAUUUUGUGCUUCAAUAAAAAUUGAAGUGUUUCAAUUAUAAAAAUUUGUGAAGCGAAAACAAAGUAUUAACCGUUAAAAUUGUGAAGCGAAAACAAUGUAUUAACCGUUAACUAUGUGAAAUGAAAACAGAGAGAAUUGAUAUAAAUCUCGUAUUCAUAUCGCAUAUUCUGUGAUUUAACUAUGUGUACAAGAAGGUUUAAUAUUAACUAACUGUGAUAGAUUCUAGAUGACUCCUACAUUUCUAAUAUUAACUUCACUUGUUCUGUACAUUCUACAUUGUUACAGAAUUUGCCAAAUUUUCAGAAAAUUACAGAAUCUGUCCAUUAUACCUUGUUACUGAUGUAAAAGCUUGUCAAGUGUUGAUUCAUCAAUUUUUAUCUCUUAAGAAACAGAGCUUUAAGUGUGAGUGGAUGCACCUCACUUAAGAGCUUUUGAACAAGCAUUUGUUCACCAUUUCUCUGAGAAUUGUAUAUAUGUCGCUUGUUGCUCUAGGGCCUGUUUGAGUAAGAGUCAGAGGCAUAUAGCAGUAAAGAUAUUAUCAGAAGGCAUCAUCAGAUCCUAUUUUACAGCACUUGAUAUGUUUUUCAUCUCUUAAUCAUUUGAGAGUGAAAUAUCAUUUAUGGACUAAUCUUUGAACCAGCAGGCAGGAUUUCGGAAGCAAGUAUUUGAGGCUUUUGUGAGCAAUUGUUUGGUGCCUAAAGAGUAACCUUCGAAUAUCACUCCUUCCACAUUUUUUUCUCCUUUUCAGCUGUUGCUUUUGCCUUCUGUCGAACCAAGCAAAGUGUUCAUGUGCUCUCCACCAAAUCCAAUAUGCAUAAGCUCUUCAAGUAAAGACCUACUCAUAAACCAAAUUAUUUUGCAGUACCAUAAAAUGGAACAGAGUCAAUAAACUAAAUUUAUUCCCUAAGUUAUCGGUAUAAUGAGUGCGAGGAAGAUUAUGUACCUCAUAUCAUAUGUUUCAUCUAAUUCGAAGUUUGAUGGCAGAGUUCCAAAGAUGUCUAGCUUUAAUUUGUUUGAUGGAGGAAUUGUUUCUUCUAGAUCAUCUGAUUCAAAAUUUGUUGGAGGAAUUGUUUCUUCUCGAUGAUUGGAUUGAAAAUUUGAUGAAGAUGCAGAUGCAGUUUCUUCUUGAUCAUGAGAUUCAAAAAUUGUUGAAGGAAUAGUUUCUUCCUUAUAUAUCCAGUGAAAUCCACACUCUUUUAUCGAUACUUCAUCAUAUAGAUCUUCUUCAAUAAAGAAUCUAAAUGUAAGCUUUGGAUUGCAACUAGUGCUGUUCACAUCAUUAAUGGAUUUUAUUUCUUCAACUGCUGCCAUUAUCUGCUUGCAACUUGCUUGAUCAUACCAAGAAACCAAAUGAUCCGAUAUCAUGUGGAUUGAUGGAUCGAAACGCAAUAACCAACUGAAGAAAUUUGCUCUUGUGAAACUUGUUAUAUAGAUUCUUUCACCUGAACUAUUGUCCAAAUAGCACUCACAUCCAAAAUCCACAUCAUAUCCCAUAUGGCCUUGAGAAAGAACCAAGUAGUACGAAAAUCCCUGUAAAUUAGACGGAAGCUCAAGAGUGACACAAACUUGUGUAGAAGAGUAAUGGAACCAAUUUUCCAUGCCAGGCAUAGCAGGUAAAAAGUACCAAAUAAUUUCAUCAUCAUCAUAUAAAGAUGGUCCAGUUUCAAUUCUAUCCAUAGCAUCUUUCAAAACUGUUUGGUAUGAAUGUGGUUCCAAAUUUUUGCAGUUAAGGAGAUAAAUAAAACAAGGAUUGGGUUCCUCAUAUGGUUCAAUCGUUGAACUCAACACUUUCUCAAGAGAUUCACAAUUCGAGACAACCAAAACUGGAAUGAACUGUGAAAGUGCCGGAAUAGAUUGAAUCAUUUUACAAUCGUAAACAUCAACACGUUCAAGUCGGGGAAGAUACUUAAUGGUUUCAGGCAAGCUUCUAAUGUCCAUACCAUCCAGUGUUAAAGACUUUAACGACGAUAGUAAGGAGAUACUAUCUGGGAAUUCAGACAAUAUAGGAAUAUAAAUAAAGGUUAAUUCUUUUACACUCUGGAAGGCAGGACUAGAAAAUAAUUUAUCUAAGGUGAUAAAAGGGUCAUCUUCACGAUUCUGUGGACUCGAAAGCGAAAUAUGAUCGGCAAAGUUUUCUGGAAGAUCCACAAGACAAUCACUGAUUGGAAAGACAAACCGUUUAAGGUUUUGUUUAUGCAAUAUUGACGAUGGAAGUUCAUUCCGAUCCCACUCUGAUAAACACAAAUCCAAACCAUCAACGGAUGAAAAUGUGACUGAGAACUCUUUGAGAUUGAUGCAAUCCCUAGCUUCCAAUUUCCGGAGCGCUGGUGAACAAGUGUUACUCGAAAGGCUCUUAAGCGAUGUACACUCGAAUACAUUUAAAACUUCAAGCUUUUGGAGAAGGAAAAUUGAUGAAUCAACUUCAGGCAUGCUUUCACAAUAACGAAGUAUUACAUGUUUUAGAUUUGGGGAACCCGACACAUUUGGACACUCUAUCAGCUUUUUGGAGCCACCGAGGUCAAGUAUCUCUAAAUUUGGCAAAUCCUAUAACAAUAUACAAUUGGUCAAACAAGUUAGUGCAUUUUCUUAAAUUCUAUAGAUUUCACAACCAAGAAGGGGGAAUAAGUAUAAAGGCUCACAUGCAUUUUUUGUUUUCCUAUUUUGAUAAAACCACAAUUUUGGUCAGCCAUUUCUAAUUAUGCAAUUUUGAUCACCUAUUUUCUAAUUACGCAAUUUUGGUCCCUAAUUUUUAGAAAUUGGGAGUAUAUAUGUAAAAGAGUCUUGCUAAUGAAUGCUCACCAUCAUUUUCCAUUAUAAAAUACUUAAAACUUUUAACAAAACCAAAAAAAAUACAAGGAUCAUACUUACCAGUACUCCAUUCCAAAGUUUUUCCACAUGGCUUCCUUUCAAUGAAAGCUCCACAAGCAUUUCAGGACAAAAGGUGGAAGGCAAAGAUUGCAAUGGAUAGCCAUCCCAUUGAAAAUAUCUUAAAUUUUCUGGCAAUAAAUCAAGACCAUGUGGAAGGUUUAUAGAUUUAAUUCCCUUGUUGUCUUGAAAAGCAAGUAACCUUAGAUUUACCAUCUUUUCAAAUGAUUCAGGUCUUAAAUUAAUAUGUGUGAAUUCAGUAGCAUCUAAAAAUAUGGAUUCAACAUUCUCAGAUCCCUGUAAAAAAGUAAAUCUCAACGUUAGUAUUUCCGUAGGAAGUUGCAUUUUGUAUAUAAAGAUCAUAUGAAUAGGAAGGCAAGUGAGGGCAUCUCUUACUCUAUUAUUUUUCAAUACAUUACAAACUUCCUUAGGAUCACAUAAUCUACUGCGUUGUCCGGGAUUCUUAAGUGAUUCUUCACGAACAAUUUGUUUUCCUGUUUCUUGUAUCAAGUCAUGCAUUUGUAUGCAAUUUUCAAAGUCAACGCUUAUAAGAGCCUUGUCUAAAAGAUUACUUAUCCCUAUAUCAGCAAAGAAACCACACUCAUUUAAUAUUUUUGUUAUUCUAUUCCUUUCAUGUCCUUUGAAAAAGCACGCAAUGUCUAAAAAUAUAUCUUUCUCUUUAUCAUCCAAUUCAUUAUAACUCAAUCUGAAUAUAAAAUCAAUUUCAGUGUUUGGAAUUUCUUUCAGUUUAGCCAGUGCACAAUCCCAUUCAAUUUCACUUUUACAACGAAGUAAUGAUCCCAAUACUUUCAAAGCUAAAGGAUUUCCUUUGGCAUAAUCAACUGCUCUUUUUGAGAGCUCCACAUAUCCAUCCUUAGGUGAGACUUUUCCAAAAGCAUUCAAGCUGAAAAGCUGGAGGGAAUUUUGGGAAUUCAUCUUCUUAACUUCAUAAAUUUUUUCAAUCCCUCCACUUAUCAAGACAUGCUUAUCCCUAGUCGUCACAAUGACUGUGCUACCAGAUCCUAGCCAACCAUGUCCUACUCCAAUCAAGUUUUGCAGAAGUUCUGAAUUAUGUACAUCAUCUAUUACAAUGAAAGAUUUCAUGCGUUUGAGUCUUCUCAUGAUCAUUGAUGGUAUUAAUUUGGAAGUAUCAAUAUCAAGAUCUUCCCUGAGUAACUUGGAAAGAAGUUUGUUGCAUGUGUAAUUGAUCCCAUGUCUCUUUGAUACUUCUGUUACCUUUUCUAAGAAGCAACUGCCUUCAUAUUUAAAAGAGACCCUUUGAAACAUAGCAGCAGCAAGGGUUGUCUUACCUGUGCCUCCCAUACCCCAAAGUCCAAUGAUUUGAACUUCUGUUAGAUCAGAUUUUAUUAAAGAUUGAAUGCUCCAAUAGUUUUCAUCAAGUAUGAAAUUACAUGGAAGAUCAUUUGUAUACUGUUGAUUUAAUUUUCCUAAUACAGCUCUAGUAAUGGCUUCAAUCAUUUCAGAUUCAGUCCUAACAUGUGCAAAAAAAAAAAAAAAAAGUUAAUACAUAUCAUAUGAAUGCCAACCAAAGGUAAAAUCCAAUUCUUCAUCUGAAUCUUAGAAUUAAAAUAUUAGGAAAAACUAACAAAAUACUCAAACAUUCACACAAUUCAUUUUCAUUUAUAUGCAUUUACAGAACAUACAUGUAUUGAAUUGGGCUUGAUCCUUAAGUGUACUUAAAUUAACAUUUUUGUUGAUCAAAGAUAAUUUUCAACCAAAUAGUAUGUCAGGAAAGGCUGUUACCAGACCAAAAUUAUAAUCGACGUAAUUCUCAAUAUAAAAAUAUCAUCAACAUUAAUGAUUAAAAAUAUAAAGCACAUGGGAAUAAACAUGUAUUUACAAAUGAUUAUUUUACUUUAUUAGAUCCUACAUAGUCUCUUUAGUUUCUGUUGUGAAUCCGGUUGAAACUCACACCAAUGAAAUAAACAAUGAUGUGUGGAGCAAGUGAUAGUGGUAAUCAAUGAGAACAAAUGGUUUCCAAGCAAACAACAACAAAGCAGCCCUAGACUAGUGUAUAGCAAAACCACACUAAGAGAUAACAAAGCAUAAACAAGAUAAGCAAGAAAGGAAGAACAAAACACCGAGAAGAUUGUUGACCCAGUUCAGCCAAUAUGGCCUAAUCUGGGGGAGAGAGCAGCUCUCCAAUCCAAUAUGAGAAAGUGUUACAAAAGGUUACAAGAAACUCUAGCCUUCAAGCUUUACACAAGACAAACCCUAGAUUCUACCCUUUGGUGUUUCCCCACUCUCACAAGAUGAACCCUAAAAAAGAGAAGUCACUAGAGGAAGCUUUUGAUCCUUCCAACUAAUGAACUCCUCACUACCCAAGGUGAUUACAAUGUUUUUCCCAACCCAAGAGACACUCUCAACAAAGACACUCAACCCUUUGGUUCCCUCCUUUGCUAUCCAAGUUCUAUCUCUAAGCUCUUCCAAGCUCUCUCUCAAAAAAGCACAAGAACACAAUAUAUACUAGUCUUCCUCUGAAGAAAUUGUGCCACGAUUUCCCACAAUCGUGUCACGAUUUGCAUCUGACCCAAGGUUGACAAGUCCUUAUUAGUGAUACUUAACGAGCAAGUUUCUGAAUCGUGUCACGAUUUCCCAAGAUCGUGCCACGAUUUGGCGUCCUGCAAACUAGCUCACGGCACCUUGAAAUCGUGUCACGAUGCCAAAAUCGUGUCAUGAUUUCUCUGUUCUUCCAGACCACAAAUUUGAAGCCAAUAACAACAGUUUCUUUAGUUUGUUAGUCUCUUAGUCUUAACUUGUUGUUGUCGUCGUUGUCUAUUAUGAUCAUGUUGAGUUUAUUGUCUUUCUAGUUCCUACCCACCGUGUAUUUUUUCGUGUGAACUAAGUAGGUAUCAUAUACGCACAAUUGCAAAGAAUAAUCUUUCAAGUUGCAUAUGAUUAUAAUAGAUGGUAAAACUGUCCUUCAAAAAAUUUAUUUAAUGAUGUUGCAUUUCAUGAUUUAAGAUAUUCGGUGAUUCUUUCCUUUUCAUAUUAGUAACAUAUUUUACUAAAAAUACAAGGGAAUCUAGUUACCCAAGAGUAACAUAUUCUGUCCUUCAAAAUUGAUUUAAGUUGUUAUUUUCUAGUUUGCACUCAACUUGAAUAUGCUUCUAAACCUUAUGAUUUUUUAGCGAUUUAUUUUUUUUGCGUUUUCAUCAUAGUCAAUAGAUCAUAUAGCGUCAAUCUUCACUCAAUUGCGAUCAAUUAGCAAAUUUGAUAGGUUUUGAUGAUGAUGGAUAAUUGAAAGGUGGGGAUUCCGCAUUCAGAUGGAUGAGUGGGUUGAGAUUGGUGGUUCGGUUAGGUAAUCAGGGUUAUGUAAAACAAAAUGUUAAAUGAGCAAUAAUUCGGUAGUUAUCUAACGGAGGUAGAAAAUCGAAAUUUUUAAAAUGAACAUCCGAUAGUUAUCUACCGGAUGUACAAAAUAGAUUUUUUUUUUCUUUUUAAAAUGAACAUCCGGUAGUUAUCUACCGGCUGUACAAAAUGAUAUUUUUUUAUAUGAACAUCUGAUAGUUAUCUACUUGACGUGUUAUUAAGGACAAUUUCAUAAUUUUAAGAGGUCUAAAGAGAUAUGAGAGGGGGGGCCUAAAAAGAACCUUCCUUGUUAGUUUACCUAGAAGCAAUAUAAUUAAUGCAAAAUUACCAUAGGGUUCAUUCUCAAGACACCAAAAACACAUUACCUCGUGCAUUUUUAUACGUUAGAUUUUUUUUUUGUUAAACCUUUGUUUCUAAGGGAAGGUGCCUCUUUUUUUUUUUUUUUUUUUUAUAUUUUUUAUAAUUUCUUUUAACCCUAUUGUUGAAAUAAAUAAAUAAUUUUUCAUCUCCCUUUCUUUCUCUGGCCCUCCAUCAUAUACUUUCUUUCUUUCAUCUUUGUGUUCUCUUUACCUGCUUUGGUUGUUUUUUUUCCAUAUCAUUUUUUUUUUGUGCUUUAUAUAUAUAGGAAUAGUACUAUAUUAUUAGAGUUUUGCGUCGGGGGUUUACUAGUAUAAAUUCCAUACUGAAGUUUUAUUGCAUAAGAUUUUCUAUGAUAUAAUAGGAAUUUUUUUACUGAAAUAUUCUUAUUUCUUUCAUUGUAUUCUUAUGUGAUUAGGUGCUUUUAGAUGUGAACAAUGAAUUGUAACAAUUUCCUUUAAAAAAUAAAGAAUUGUAACAAUCUUUUAGAUAUUUAUUAAUUAAUUAUCGAUUUUAAUCACAGAACCAUGAUUUAGAGGUUUCUUCGGUUCGAUCUCCGAUCUGAUUUUUACAACAUUGAUAUUAAUUUGACGGGCAGACCGAUAAAAUUUAAUUUUAAUGUAUGCAAAAACAGAAAAACCUGUAUGUGGUGGAAUGAAAACCAGACAAAUUAGCUGCUUGAAAAAGAGCAUUCUUCCAAUUUUGCAUCAUCUUAUCAUCAUUUUUGCCUUGUUUCUUGUGUUUAAUCAACGCAGUGCCAUAACUACCAGUCUGCUUCCGCACGUGUGAAGGGUCAACAUGGUAGAACACUGGAAUAACAACAACCUUGUCAUCUUCAUUUUUGUUACAACACUCCAUUAUUUCAACAAGUUCGUUCAAACACCAUGUUGAAGAGGCAUAGUUUUCCGAGAACACCACAAGAAAUAUAGUGGAUUGUUUGAUUGCUUUCACUAGUUCUACCCAAACUUCAUCUCCUUUCUCGAUCCUGUAGUCUAUGUAGGUAUAAAUCUUGCUUCGGCACAAAUCAGCGUAAAGAUGGCUUGUGAAUCCAGCGCGAGUGUCAUCACCUCUAAAGCUGAUGAAAACAUCAUAUUUCUUCAUAGGCAUAGUAGCAGCAUGAGAAGAAGAAGAAGAAGAAGAAGAAGAAGAAGAAGAAGAAGAAGAAGCCAUAUAAUCUAUGAGUUAUUGUCCUUAGAAUGUGGGAAUACCCACAUGUAUAAAAGCACAUUUUCAUAAUGUGUGUGGACCCUUCUUUAAGCACUUUGCAGAAAAAUGGGAUGAUAAAGUGGAACACCAUGAGUGAUGCCUUUACUUUUUCUUUUGAUUUAUAGCAUAUGAUUUAUUCCUUUUUUUUUGGCAGUAUUUUUUUUAUAGUAAGGUUAGCAGUUACCGGAUGGAAUAUGGGAUUUCUUAGAAUUCCUUCUUUUUUUAGUGGUGGCCGGGGUUCGAAUUUCGGACCUUGCAUAUUUUAUGCAUUGUCCUUAUCAACUGAGCUAAGCUCACGAGGACUUAGAAUUCCUUCGAUGUUUCUUUAAAAGUAUUUAUUUUUGUUGAAUGAAAUUUUAUGUUUGUUUUGAUCCGAUAAAAGUGAAUAUCCAGUAAAAAUUGCAUUUAUCUAGUAUGUUUUACUGUUUUUAUGUUAUGUGAUCUAUUUGUUUCUUCUAUUUAUGUAGUGAUAAUUUUAAUUUUUUUUUUUUUUUUUUUGUGCUUUAGUUAGGAAAGAGGAAUGGGUUCUGAUGGAAUCAAAGCUAAUUUGAGAUUUUGACAUUUGAGGAUUAGAAUUUUAUUCUCUUAUAUUUAGGAAUCAAAGCCAAUUUGUCUUGAAGAAUUUUAUCUUGAAGAAUAAAUGUGUGAAAAAUUUGAGAAUUUUAUUCUUUUAUCGUGUGAAGAAUAAUUCUAAUAUGGAAUUGAAGAUAAUAUUUUGGCCAUCUCAACAAACAAGAACAUUAAUGUGAAAAAAUCCGAAUUUAAAAAAUAUGUAGGUUGUAGGAAUUACAUUUUAGUUCAUAAUCAAUCCAAAAAGAGACUCUGUAUCCGAUGUAAUCUAUCAAUUUGAAUGAAUGAAUAUCAUUUAUUUUUGUCAAAAAAAAGAACAUUAAUGUGAUUAAUAACGGCAGACCUUGGUAGAUGAUGGAUAUAGAACACGAGGAUAAUGAUAAUUUAUCUCAUGUGCAUAAAACACUAAGGGUGUGUUUGGAUUGAGGGUUUAGGAGGCGAAGGAGGGAGGAAUUUACAUUUUUUUUAAUUACGGACUAUAUAACAUGUUUUUCUAAAAUAAAUUAAGUGUGAUUGAAGUAUUAUACGAUCGUUUAUCAAGUUAAUAUGUUAAUUUUUUUAAAAACAUUUCAUAGUGUCCGUAUUUUAAAAAUGAAAAACCACCAAAUUAAGUGGUCGAGUUUAUUAUGACGUUGGUAGUCUGUUACGGCUAACCUUAAUGGUUUUGGGUCUUUUAGCAACACUUAUGAAGUGUUACAAAUUUAUUUCUUGCCUGUGAUUCAUCGAAGAGGCAUUCCACAAAGUUCAUUUAAUUAUCUUACCAUCAUUUAAUCUCUUCAUGAAUUACAUGUUCCCCGCAGAUUCAUUGUCUUUUACCCCAUUUCUCUUAAUAUAUUAUCUAUUUAGUGAGAAAUAAAAAAAAAAUUGUGAUACUACUCCUAAUUAAAAGUUAAUAUACUAAUUUGUUUAAUGAAAUAGACGAAUAACCAUGUUAUCAUGGAACAUGUUCCUUCCUUAAAAAUAAAACCUUGUUAUGAUGGUGUUGCAAGAAUUUUCUCUACUUUUGGCACAUCCGUUAUAUAGAUUCGAAGAUAACCCGUAAUCAAUAUAUAGGAGGCAAUGCUAGAACAUCAAUCAUUCAUACCAUGAGCCCUACAUGCAUGGAGUUAUGUUGAACAAACCAAAAACACCCUCCCAUUUGAAAGGUGUGCUAAAGAAGUGGCAACUAGUUCUAGAACGGUUGUAUUUGACUUUAAUGAUUAUUUAAUCAGUGAUACAAGAUAGACCUAAAUGAGAAAAGCACUAUUCACAGUUUCUUAAAUUUGUCUAUUUAAACCCAUGUUUAAUCGUCGACAAUUAAGUACCUUCAAAAUAUGUUUUAGGUGAAUAGUUUUUACAAUCAUGCCUAAUCAGUUUUGAUAAGAAAGGCUCAUUAUAAUUAUAAAAAUAAAAAAAAAAAUUAAAUAGCUUGGAUAUAACAGCGAAAUUGCUAGGAAUUUUAGCUAGAGUUUUACUGCAAAAUUGUUGUGACGAUAUAUCCUAGCGAUAUAGUUACGACACAUAAACUUUUGAACAAUAUUUUACUAUAAUUUAAUUGGUAAUUAGCUACAAUUUUUUCAUAUAUUAUUUUCAUUUUAGCUAGUAAAUAUUUUGCCAGAUCAUUUUCCGUUCAAUGCAUGCUAUGACAGCUAAUUCAUAAUUAUUCUCUAGCUAAAUGUAUUUGCGCUAGAGAUUAGCUACAAAUUUGCUUAGAUUUCAAUCUUGCAGCUAAUGGCAGAUUUUCUUGUAGUGCACGCAUAAUGAUUUUGAUUUAUUAUAUUGCCUAACUAUAAUUUAUCAUGUCAUUUUUUGUGCCGAUCAAGAUUCACUUCAAUCAAUAUUUUACCACAUUCACACAUUCGAAAUAUCUACAGUAGUUGGAUCAAGAUCAAAAGAUCAUGAUCUAACGACCGCUGAUAUGCCAAAGAUGAAUGUAGAAAAAAUAUUAAAUACUGAGGCUGAAUUAAAAUAUUAGGAAGAACAAGAACAAGACAAAUACAAUCUAUGUAUAGUAUACCAUAUAUUUUGCAAAUUAAACAGUGAGAUUUGUGGUCACAACUACAAACUAAAUAGGAAAUAAUUUGAAAUGAACCUAAAAAUAAGUGGUUUCCCUAGAGAAAGUCGAAGAUUUAAAAUCAAGGCCGCAAAGGAAACCUGUAAUUUCAAACCAUGAAGGCACUAAAUGUAGGUGGCAAUGACACGAAAUCUAACCAUUUUGAAGUUCUAACUCCCUUCUUAGUAGUGGCGGAGCCUUUCAUGGGCUGGGGUGGGCCACGGCCCACCCGAAAAAAUUAAAAAAUCAACAAUUAUAGGUCUAUUUUGUGAGAUUUUAUGCAAUUUUGUGUCGAUUUUAUGUUUUGGUUGAUCCAAAUUCUUGCAAAGUGGUGUAGUGGCCCACCCGAAAAUUUAAAUAAUUCAAUUAUAGUUUUAUUUUGCGAGAAUUUAUACAAUUUUAUGUCGAUUUUAGGUUUCGGAUGAUCCAAAUUCCCGCAAAUUGGUGUAGUGGCCCACCCGAAAAAUUUAAAUAAUUCAAUUAAAGGUCUAAUUUGCGAGACUUUAAACAAUUUUUCAAUAGUUACUUUUAGUGGCCCACCCUGACAUUUUUUUUCUGGCUCCGCCACUGCUUCUUAGCCAUUAUUUCAUUAGUUAAAUUUACUUUGAAAUCCAGAAGUCCUAGCUCAACUGGCAAAAUGCCGAAAUUGUUAGGCCGGAUGUCAUGACCGGGGUUCGAACCCCGGUACCUCCACUUGUGUGUGUGAGUUUAUAAUGGCUUUGCCAUUUCGUCUAUCUACCAAAAAAAAAAAUUACUUUGAAAAUUGAGAUUCACUUUGUAGCCAUGAAACGGUUUUAUAACAGAGUGAAUUUGAGAUUCACUUUGAUAUAUAUAUAUAUAUAUAUAUAUAUAUAUAUAUAUAUAUAUAUAUGUAGUUUCUUUGGAAACAAAUAGGUCAUGGAAGGAAAUGGGAGAUGCAGAGAAGAGCCGGUCGAUAGAAAAAGACUAUUGUUUUUUGGUAUUGUCGAUCUUACUAACAUCUUGUUUUAAUUUUUUUUUACUCUUUCAAUUAUUUAAAUAUUUAGUAUGUAUAUUUUUAUCAUUGAAUUAGAUUUUAUCCUUUAUUUAGUAGAAAAUUAAUUUCAGUAUAAAUAUCAUAAAUUAAUUUUUAUUCGAAUUUGUAGUGGUAAAUAAAAAUAAACGAAUUAAAUUUAAUAAAUAGUAUUAGGUUCUAGUGAAAAACACAAAACUGUUGGUAAAAGGCAUGUUUUUUUUGCUACUUUUAUUCAUGACGUUUACGCACCGGAUAAACCGUAGGUAGAACUUAAAACUUUUGGUGACAGUCACUUGAACUUUUCCUCUCAGACACAACCCUUGAAAUUGGGCGUACGUAAUUGACGCCUUUUUCUAGUAUUGAAGGACUUCUAUGGACAAAUAUUAUCUUUCUGUUGAUGUCAAAUUUCUUGAAGUGAUAUGUUGGGGGUAUAAGUGUGAAUAGUUUGUUGGAACAAAAUGUGUUUCACAAUGAACCUUAAUGAGUUUUGAUGAUAACAUGGUAUUAAAAAUUGUCAAUUGGUUAUUACUAAUUAUUGUUCAAGUGUACAGGACCAAAGGCUAGUCAAGUAAUUUCAACAGGUCUUGGAAGAACAAUGAAAAGCAAAAGAAUUCCAAGCAUCUGAAGAAAACUGCUCCUGAAGUUGAAGUGCUUCUGAAGUGAUGACGUCAUCAGAAGCAAGGUUUUCAUCAGAAGCUAUAUCUUCACCAGAAGCUACAUUUGAUCCUUUAAUCAAUCUGAAGAUUCAAAGUAGCUGGUUCUCAAUUCAAUCUUAUCUAAGAAGAACGAAGAAUUGAAAGGGAUGUACCAACGGUCAUAUGGAUAGCACUGAGCAUUUGUCCCUCGUUAACAGAGUUGACAAAGUACAAGUGUACAACCACUACCUCCACUACUCUGUUUUUGUCCACGCUACAAGACAAGACAACAGCUAUGCCUGCAUAAUUUGUGUCCUCAAGAUGGGAAUGAAUUUGAAGCUUAUUCUUCAAAGGAGUACACUCAAAUCAGGCAAAGGAUUACUGGUGGAUGAUCAAAGGAUUUCAAACGACUCUUUAGACGUUCUGAUUAUCUCAACGUCUCUUUCACGCCUCUAUAUAAAGGAGUGAAGACUUGAAGAUUAAAGAUAGAGAUAUACAAGUUCAAAAGCGCCAAAACUCUGUCAAAUUGAUUCUACAAAGCACACUGAAUUUCUGCACUGAUUUGAUACAUCUUAGAAAUUCAAAGUCUAGAGUCUUUAUUGUAUUGUAUUGAGAACACCACUGAUUGUAUAUCAAGUGUUCAAGUCAAACUCAAUUCUCUGUAUUUUUGUUUGAUCAGAAGUCUCUUGCCUGCGUGCUUGAGCAUUAGAAGUCUCUUGCUUAGUGCUUGAGCAUUGGAAGACUCUUGCGUGUGUGCUUGAGCAUUUUUGUGAAGUCUCAUACUUAGAAAGUAUUGAGCAUUUGUAAUCUUUGUGAUUAUAGUGAAAUCUCCUUGGAAGUGCAAGGGGGACUGGACUACUUCCGUGUUGUGGAAGGAACCAGGAUAACUGCUUGUGUCUUUGUCUUUCUUUUCUCUGCUCUGCUCUGUUCUUUUCCGCUGCAUAUCUAAUUCUGAUCAUUUCAUCAGAAGCACUCACAAACUGCUUCUGAAGGUUUAUCAGAAGAAGAUUUUUAGAGAGAAAAAGAAAACACAAUUCAACCCCCCCUUCUUGUGUUUUUCUCACCUUCAUAGUUUAGUCUCACAUCGACUAUAAAUUAAUUAAAUGUAGGAUAUAUAACUUAUAAGAGUGGCGACUCAUGCCUAAUGUCUUAAGGUUUUGGGGUGGAGAAGUUGUGUCCAAUCUCUUGAUGGUCCUGAUCAUUUACCAAUUGUUUCUCUUAGCGCUCUCCCGGACUCUGCAACAAUAUCUUGAAAAACCAAAUGGUUAUAAAAUCGUUAACUUGCAUUGCUUUUUCAGCACUGUCUUGUUUUUGCCAUGCCAUAUUGCAAAUUUACACUACUAGAUUUGCACAAACCUUGGUGUUAUUAAUUAACUUUUUCCAAACAUAAACUCUUGUAUUUCAUAUCACAUGUCUAACACAUACAAGAGGUACACACAUCAUGAGUAUUUCUUAUUGAUGUAAAGUAAACCAUAAAUACCAACAAACAAACAAACAAACAAACAAACAUAACAACAUGACCAUGAUGAGGUAAUUUGACUACUUCACACAUUUUAUUUAAAGCAACAGAACAAACAAUGAAACUCAUUAAAUGGAGAUACUAUUAGGAAUGCCUCUGCCAGUCAAUCCUUCCUCACUAGAAGGAUAAAGCAGAGUGUAUGGCAUCUUCACAGGCCCGUAUCGGUUUCUCAAUGACUCAUCAUUGUUCCUUUUGAUGAGCUUUGCCUCAAUUUCAGCCAACUUCCUUCCAAACCUCUUGAAAGCUUCUAAUGGCUGUGAAUCAAAAGUCCAAGCCUCACCUUCAUUUCUCUGUCCAAGGUAUUGCUCAUCAGAAGCAUGCCUUGACAAGACCUCUAUGAUUGUAAGGUCAGUUAGGGUAUCAUUUUUUGGUGUGAUUGUCCUCAGAUACGCCUUCUGAAAGUUCUUAGAAAGCUCGUCAUACUCAGCAGACCCUUUCUUAGGCAUGUGUCUCCGGCUCUUAGUUGGUCGGUUAAGUAUAUAUCCUCCAUAUGGGUAUUGACCAAAAUUAACAGCUGCAUGAUGUGCUGAAGCAAUCCAUAUGAGGAUAGUGCAAGCUUCAAUCAACUCUGUACAAGUUUGCAUCUUAAACCACCAUGUAGCAUUCUUCAAAUCACCAUGACCCACCUCUACAACUUCUCUCCAAAAUGCUUGCAGUUCAGAAUCUUGCGCAACAGCAACAUCUGACUUGUAGUAGAAAUUCACAUAUUCUUCAACCCAUGACUUGAUAGCAUCCCAUAUCUCUAGUCCAUCAGCAGCAUAAGGGUAGUCCUCUAUCAGAAGGCGAAUUCCAUGUGGGGAAGUUGGAUCCUCAACAGCCACUCCUCUAGAUAUAGCAUGCAAGGAAGAUAUCAUUAACAUAAAAAAUACUUUUGACAUCAAUAUCUUUUUUACCAAGAUUAUUAAAUUUCUAUUGUAGUCACAAUCCUAGCCAUUAUAGAGAAUUGCGGUAAAAUAUAGUUGAUGCCUUAUCUUAGAUCAUGGUUACUAGCAUUAUUUCAAUCCUUUUUUAACUAAUGAAUGAGUAGUAACUAAUUUUUUUUUGAAGGUUACCUUUUAAGUAGAUCAUUAGGUAGUCCUUGAUCUGGGAAAACCCAAUCCUUAUAUAAUACAGAAGACAGUUCUAUAGAAUGACUUCCCAAUAAGAAUGUUGAUUCUAUAAUACCCUCUGCAUUUACCAAGACACUCCUUGCAAGUGCAUUAAUGUUCAUUGUGUCACGAUAAUGUGGAAGCAGAAGUUUGUGAAUAGGGUGAACCACACUAAGAUGCCUAUUAGUUGCUAUGAUGAAUGGCUCAACAACAGCGUGCGUGUUCAACCUGUUACACAUGUAGAUAUUCAUGAAUCAAUCUUAGAUAUAUAAAAUUAAAUAUGUUUGAUUCUAUAAAAAUUCAUCAACAUAAUUGUACCAGUGGCUGACAAGUUGGUGAACAGAAGAGUCAUUUACAAUAACAUAAGCCUUGGCAAGGAGCCAAAUAGAAGAUUCAACACCUUCCUUUGCAGGCAAGUAAACAUCACUAACAGGACCAAAGCUAUCAGCCUGAGGAUGUGGGCUACUUAGCUCAAUGGCUAAUGGCUUCAAAGUUCCAUCAUUUUGUAAGAAAAUGAUAGUUCUAGUAGCAUAUGCCUUUGUUGUAUCAGCUGCAUUUAUUUUCCUCAGAUAUGGAUAUAUUGAGUCAUGGUGAUCAAGUAUGUAAAGCCUGUUGUUUUGGAUAGCCUAUUGAACAAAAUAUAAUUUAGUCAUUGCAAUUAUUUGAAUAAUAAAUAACCACAAAAUAACAUUGUCAAAGUUAAAUUAUAUGCAUAGUAUUAAUGUUAAACUAUGUCAUUACUUCUUCUACAGUGACCCCAUCCAUGUUUAGCUCUAACUGUUCUUCGGUUAUUGUGCUCGUAUUAUCACCAUAAUCGGUAUUUAGCUUGCUCUUUGGUGGGAACUCCUACAUUAUAUAUAACAAGUAAUACUGAAAUUAAGAUUGAAAAUAUAGUAUGUAAAGUGGACAAAAUAGAGUUUAAUUUUGUGUUUGUAAAGAAAUCGUUAAACUAUUAAGUUUACCUGAAUUCUUUUUAUAAUGUGUGGAUUCACACCAGCAAUCAUCUCCCUUGCAAAUUCUUCAUCAGUCAUCCACGCAGACUGAUUAACUGCUCAAAAUAAGAGCAUUGCAAAUGAUCUGUAAUAUUUUUAUUUAUUCUAUGAAAAUAUAUUGCUAGGACUAACUAAUAGAUACCUUGAAUCACUUUAGGCGGUGGAAACUUUAGGGCCGAUUCACCAUCAGUUCGGAAGAGUUCCUUGAAAAAUGGUAUGGGGCUAAGUUUGCUAAGUAUACUAGUAGGUAAUUUAAUCCCACCAUCAUAAAAUGAUCGCACAUCAUCAAAGCUAUUAAAUUCUGGCUUAUUGAGUUGUAAUGUAAUUGCAGAUUGUAAUUGAGGUAUGAAACUUUGAGAAGCUGAUUUGAGUAUGUAAACAAGAAAAUCUGAAGACUUCAAGUGACCAAAUGCUUCAUCUCUUGGAACGUAAACAAAGUCGUCCCGUCUCUCACUUUUAGGAUCUGUUCACAUACAAAAUUGAAGACACGCAUUAGCAAGUACUAGCAAAAAGAUCGAUAACUUUAAAGUCAUAAUAGAGAAAAUGUUUUGAUCACAGCACCAUUAAUUUAAUAUGGAACUUUAAAAUUAUAACCUUUUUUAGCUGGUUUCCUGCCGGUUCUGCCCCUUCGAGGGUAAGGCAAGGUGUCGGAUCCUCCAAUAACGGGACGAGCCAAGUGUGCGUACUUGUCAGGAUCACCCAAGUCAUUGUAAACAUCGUAGUCAUAGAUUCUAUCGUGUUCCUUGCGCUGACCCGUUCCAUCUCCUCUUAAAGUCUUCAAUUCUUCUUCUCUAUAGUAGACUAAUGGAGCUGGUGUUUCACUUGGAAGGUAUGUCUAUAUUUUUAUUUAUUUGAUGGUGUAAGAUUUCAGGAAAUAUAGUUCAUAUUUAAAGGUCUUGCUAACAAGUGCCCUAAUGUUAAGAUUAAAAUAUUGAAACCAGUUGAUAGCUUUCAUGUAGAAAAAAUUGUUUUUUGAUGUUCCAAUGUGUUAACAUUUCACUAUAUUUAACAUGCACGAUAAAUAUGGUAUAUUCAUUACCUUGUUGGCGAAGAAGAUGCGUUUCGUUUUAUACUUGUCAGCACUGUAAAUCCAUGAGUUGCAUACAAAGUUGAUGGUUCCAUGGUUUGGAAUAUCUUCAAGUGUCAAACUUACAAGGAAGAAUUCUCGUGUCAUGUUACUCUCAAUAUAAAAUGCUCCUGGAACUCCCAUGUCACUAUUCCAUUCAAAAUGAAUAUCAUAUGCAGACUGUCCUGCUCCCAAAAUUGGCAUGGAAGUAACAAAACCUUCAAUAAAUGUUUUCUCUCCGACUUUCCCUUUUCCGCUUCCUACAAAUAUGUUACAAGUUUGAUUUACAAUUUCAGCAAUGAUAAUACUCCCUCCGUCUCACAUCAGGUGUCACAUUUGAGUUUUACACAAUUAUUAAAAAAAUGAUUAAUAAUUUUGAUUUUAAUGAUAAAUAUGUAUCAUUUACUAACAUACUUUUAUUAAUUAUAAUUAGUGGAAUAUUUUUAAAUGAUUCAAAUACAAUAGAUACAGAUAUGUUAAAAGAAAAUAAUAAUAAAUAUUGUAUUAUUAGUGUUAUAAAAGGGACAAAUAAAUUAAGAAAAAAAACAUAUAAUUUAAGACGGAGGGGAAAAAACAUCUAAUUUGAAACGGGGGAGUAACAUUCAAGAUUAAUUUAUGUCAAAGUAACAAAUUACUCUUUUUGUGCCAAAAAAAUAUUAAUUCUUUCCACCUGAAUAAAGUGUUUUAUAUAGGAGUUGAUAGUUGAUUAUAUCUUUCAUGCUAUAAAUAAGUUUUUGGUCCCUUUAAAUAUCUCAAAUUUCAGUUUUUAUAGUUCAAAAUAUUUUCAGCAAAAUUUGGGUUUGCUAAAAAUAACUUAGAAGGAAAAACUUGCCAAAUUGUUUUAGAGAGACUAUAUAUAAAAUUUUAGAUAUUUAUACAGUAUCCCUAAAAAAAAAAAGAAAUUUAUACGGUAGAAUUAUUUUUUUUAACCCAUUUUGUAAUGAUAAAACAAAAGGGAAACUGAAUUGAAUCUUAUGGACUAAGGGUCAAAUAAUAGAGGAAAAAAAAAAUCAAAUUAUUGAUAAGUAUUAAUAAAAAAAUUAAACCUCACAAAGAUUAAUUUAAUGUAUCAAACUAAUAACUGAAGACUAACAUAUCAUAUGAUUUUCUAUGUAAAAUGUUACCAGAUCGAAAAUCAUAUGAUAUGUUAAUGAGGUAAAUCAAGACUAACUUCUGAUGUGUGUGUAUAAACUUCAAUUCAUUUGUAAACUUUAUUAAUGUUUACUCGUUAAAGCGUUAUUGAGCAGCGCAACACUGUCCAAAUACUAUAUGUGUUCAGUGUUGUAAAUUUAUGACGAGCAUUAUGUAGUCUUAGAAUGAGAAAUGAAUAAGUUUAUUACCAUCGGCAGUGGUAGCACUGAUCAACCUGAGAGCCACAGAACGGCCGACAAAGGCCCCGGCGGUGUCAAUUAGAGUGCCGGCGACACCACCAACAGCCUUGAUUCCAGUUUUGACCAAAUUAGUGGUGUUUUUAGUUGCACCAUUGAUGGCAUUGAUGUCGAAAACAUUUGUUUGCAUCAACACAACUGUGCCCUUCACCUUUUGGCCUCUCUUAAGCAUACUUUUGAACCCUGAAUACAUCUUAAUUUGCUGCUUAAAUUUUUUUUUUUGCAAAUUAAUGAGAGAAAAGUUUGUGGCUGGCAAGAUGCAACCAUCUCAUUAUUUAUAGGGCCAAAAUUAAGCUUCUGAUUAAGAACAAAUAAUUUUUUUUUAAUUGAUUAAUUGAUCAUUGACAUCGUGCAAAAACUAUUAGUAAUAGGCUAAUCGUGGAAUAUAAAAUAAUGAUGUAUUUUAUUAUAGAAAGAAGAUAACAAUAUGUGUUACACAAUCAUAUUAUGACAAAUGGAUUUUUGAACUAUAGUUAAUUAGAUUCUAACGCGUACACCAAUAGUAAUAGGCUAAUCGUGCAAAAAUUAUUUCCUGAUACGAGGUCGUCUUUCUUUCCAUUGUUAAUAAUAUCCCUUCUCACAACUCACAUUCACAUACCGUAACCAUGGUUCAAUUUAAUAAUAUUAAUAAUAAGAGGAUGUACAAGAGUUAAUUAAACUAUGCAAGUGCAACUCCUAUAUGAUUUUAAGAUGAACAUAACUCAACUCUUACAAAUAUGAUUUGUAAGGUGAGGGGUUUCCCACUUAUAAUAAACUCAUUUUAUCUUCAUUUAAUAUAGAACUUUUACACUGCUCAUAUAUGUUUAAGAAUGGACGACAGGAGUGUGACUCGAGUUGUAUGAAAAUAGAUGAUCAAAUAGAUUUUAUUACGACUAUAAUACAUAAUGAAGGUUGUCCCCGUGAGCAUACUCAGUUGAUAGGGACAUACAUAAUUAUAUGCAGGGGUUGGGGUUUGAACCCAGACACCCCACUCAUUCACCUUGAAAAAGGUGAAUUCUAGCCACUAGAUUAAAAAAAAAAAAAUUAAGAAUUCAUUUUCAGGUAUAGUUUUAUCAUCAAGUGUGAAACUAUUAAUAUAUGCAAUGUUAAAAUAUAAAAUAAAUUUGUUUUUAUUUUUUAUCGCAAGAUUUAUCAUUAAACUUUAUUUAGUUGUUUUGACUCAUUCCUUUUUCUAUAUUUUAGCUGUUUUAGUUGAAUGUAGUUCCGUUAGAACUAAAAUUUAAGUUUUUUUUUUUUUUUUUUUUUGGAAAGUUCCAUGAAAAAGAAAUUAGUUUUUUUUUUUUCUUUUUUUCUAGUACUGCAAACUUUAAAAAUAUAAUUUUUCUGAAUGCUUUUGUAUGAAUGAAUUUUGAGGAGUGUUAGAAACACUCUCUUUUUAACACCUACAUUGAUAUUUAAUUUACUCUUUUAUUGAAUGAAUUCAUUGAUAUUUACUAUUUUAUUGAAUAAAUUAAAUGUGUAUUAUACAUUUUAAAAUGAGUUUCACAUAAAAUGGUGGAUUCCAUAGAUUUCGUCAAAUAAAAUAGUGGAUGUUAGAAAGAAUGUUCAACUCUAUGGUCUAUUCACUAAUAUUUUCACACCCCACAAAAUAUUUCUAAUACAAAAUAUUUUGUCAAGAUUGAAUAAACUUUCAAAAAAACUUGAGCUAAAUUUUCCAGAAGAAAAAACUGUUGAUUGGAAUACACGGGGAAUUUUUUUUUGGAAUUUUAGUCACGCUUCAAAUGUGGUUAAACUGCCGAAUUUGUAAAACGUAAUACUUGGAAAAAGAUUUCCAAAAUUUUAUCCAUAGUUGCUAAAAAUCCUGAGGAAAAUUCAAUGAAUCUGCCGUUUAGUAUCAUUUCAAGAAACUUUUAAUCAAUUGUAAAAAACUUUUACUUACCAGAAAUAUUUUGUCCGAGUUAAAGUCAAAUGACAAAAAGAUAAAAUUAACAAUAGAAUUUUUUAUAGUUUGUAGGGAGGAGAUGUAUGAAUGCAGGGGUAAAGAUUAAAGUGAAUUUUUAUUUAAACUAUAGAGCAAAAGCAAAAGCCCGCGACAUGUGCAAUGAGGCUAAGGCUUUGUAGAGCAAGAGUGAUUUUUUAUUUUUUCACAAGAGUUGUUAGGGCAAUGAGGACUACCCUACUCUUCCUACCCCACAAAGUAUAUAACAUGUCUAAUUUAUUUCCAACGACUUUAAAUUAUUGAGGAAUAGGAGUUUAGUCCUUUCAUCAUUUCAGUUUUUGGGAUCGAAAAAUUGAAAAAGUCAAAAUUUGAAUUUUUUUUUUAAUGUACUAGUUUUUCUAGUCCAUACGAAGAGAUACAUAUCAUGUGAAAUUCACACAUAAGACUGUAAGAUUAUAAGUUUGAAGCGGACAAAGAUGUUCAAACUAAAAAUAUUGAUAUUAGUCAUUGAAAUAGACCAUGCAGACAAGAAAAUAUUAGUUUUUGAAAGAAAGAAAAAACAAUGUUACGAGGAACUCAAAUUUUGAGUUUUUGAUAAAUUAAAAAAUUUGAAAAAAUGGGAGUAUUUGUUAACAUUUCCCUAUAAAUGAAAACGAUAAAACCAAACAUUUUAAAAGAAUAUAGUAGUAUGAUUUUGAGGGGUAGGUAGAAUAAUUCUUCUGGAGCGAUAAUGCUAUGAGAAGAGCAACCAAUUGCAUAUACUUGGAUAUGGUUUGGAAGGAGCACAUUUUCCAACUCAUUAAUUAUUUUAGAGAGUGACUAAUUUUUUUUUUUGUUAGACAUGGUUACACGUAAGUACAAGUUUAGUUAGGGGUGCCCUACUUUCGUGUGGUGAAUUCGAUGAUUUUUGACUUUGGAUCGCGUGUUCAAUUUCAUCAUUCUUGGAGAGAAUGAGACUUUUUAUCUUGCACAACUCUCGAGUCUCCUUCUAAUUAACUUUAUAAACUUAUUUUUGAUCAUAUCUUUGGGGCUUGCAUACUUAGAAGUGUUUGUUUUGAUUUGUAGUUUUUCUUUGGGCUUCGACCAUCUUUUGUACCAAAACAAGAGAUUACUUUUUGCGUCCAAUGAGUUUCUCACGCACCAUAUUUUUUUUUUAAUACCCUUUAGAUUCUAUAAUUCAAACAGCACUUCAGCUUAUAUAAUCUGAAAACUUGUAUUUCCAAUAUUUACUUAACAUCGCUGAUUUACAAAACAUCAUUGACAUAUACUAUUAAGAAAACAUAAUUGAAAAUGACCAAAAAUUGAAACAAAAAUGUAGAGACAUAAAAACGAAUUCAAAUUCUCAUUAUAUUAAUAGAUCAUAUCUUGAAAGUACAUUUACAUUAACAUCAAAGCAUAUUACGCAAAAUUAUUAAACAUCUAAUAUUAAACAUAUGGUGCAAGAAGAUCAUGUAGGGGUAAAAAGAAUAUGAUGGAGGGGGAAGGAGGUUGGAGUAAGGUUUUUUUUUUUUUUUUUUAGGAUGAAGGAUACUUUGAUGGUCAACCUUACACCUAAACAUAUCAAAUUUACAUCCAAACAUAUGGUACAAAUUUGCAUAGUGGCACCAUCUUCGUUGAUCGCUCAUACGAUCGCUAAAAUAAAAGAGUAACCUUUUUGUAUAAAAGGUCAACGAUGGAAGCAUAUUAAUUGUGGAAGAAAACAGAAGGAGAAAAUGUGAAGAAUGAGAAUUUGUGAAGGAUUGGUGGGUAUUUACAGGAGGAACUUGUGAAGGAUGAUGCAUAGAGUGUAUAAGACCAUUGAUUACGGUCAAAAAACGUGGUAAACCUGGUUCGACCGGUCAAUGAAACUGAUAUGACCAAAGAAAAACUUGUUCAAUGAGUUAGUCUUGCUGAGCUGAUUCGAACUCUGAACUAGUUCAUAUUAGGUAAUUUGAACUCAUCCCAGGAAUGUUAUUAUAUAAUCCGAACUAAUUUAAGAUUGUGUUAAAAUUCAUACCUUAUAGGGUGAGGGAGAGUUUAAAUUAUAAAUUAUAUAAUUCAAACCAGUUCAAUACAUGUUCUUUUUGUGAUCUACAUUGCACCAACAGUUUCCUUUUAUGUUUUUUUUCUUUUUCUGUGUUCUGGUGUUGUGCCUUAUUGGCCUUUUUUUCCAAAACUGUGACACCAAUUUUUUAGGGCGAGAAUAGAAUUUGAUUGAUUCUCUUCAUUAAAUUCAAUGGAUUUCAUAAAUUUCUAAUUUUAAGGUCACACGGCUAAUACAUAUAUAACACAAAGUGUCGUCAGAGUCUUUUGGCAUUGGUGUCAUACUAAUCUUGUUUGAAUUCUCUACUCCGAUUAUUUUCUAUUACUUUGAGAAUUCAUGAAGUCAUUCAUAGACCUAUUUAACACAUAAUUGAUGCCUGUGUUUUAUAUUUACACUUUAUUAAAACUGUUGUAAAAGAAAAAAAAAACAGACAUAAUCAUAUUUUCGUUUUAUAGUUACGGUUUGCAAGCAUGAAUUCUCACCUCCGUUGAUCUCUUUAAAUUAAUUCGAAGCUUCAAUUCAAAGUGGGUAGAAGAAAUUGUAAACAGAGCAAGAGGUUUAGCUUGGAAUUCAGAAAAAAGUCUUGAAGCUUCACCCUUUCAUCAAUUCUUGAUUUUUUCUUCAAUUUGAUUAAGGGGGAUUACCACUAAAUGACUGUUUUAUCUUUAUCUAUUUUAUGAGCAUGUUGUUGCUUUAUGAAAUUUUUAGAGAUUCUUAGUUUAUGCAAUCUAUUUUAUGUGUUUCUGUCAAUCGCACUUUUGCUGCUGCGUAUUUAUCUGGUUUUGUGUUUGUGUCAGUUUCUGCAUAAUAUCUGCAUUCGUUUAGGUUUCCUUGUAGUUUCUUGUUUAAUGCAAUUACUACAUAAUUGCAUUUCUAUUUUUCAUGUUUCAUUAGUUAAUGUUAUUGCUCUUUUUAGAUUUUAUUUCUGCAUAAUACAUUCUUUAAUGAUUUCUACUUGGCUACUGGUUAGAACUAACAAUUAAAAAUAAAAGAUCUUAAAUAAGGGCAGGUCUUUAAAAAAUACCAUUAUAAUUUUCAACGUAACAUGCUUCUCUAUUUUACAUCUCUUUGUUAUAUAUAUUCAAAUUGGUGAGGUAUUUGAGAUUCUAGAGGGUGAUAAAUGCCUUCCUGAAGAACAAUUGCAAAGCUUAUAAAUGCCUUCCUGAAGAACAAUUACAUCUCCAAAUGUGGUCUUCCUGGAAACUCAGGUGGCAGACAAAUUAAAUCUUGUUCUGGUUUUGCUUGCAUGCAAUGUAAAUUUGAAUCCCUCUAAUAUCUCUUUUGUUUAGAACCUUCUCCUUAUGUCUAUGGUUUUUUUUUUUUUUUAAAUUUAUAAAGAUGAGCAUAUUUCUUAUUCAAAUUUACUAAUUUAGAGAAGGGUUCAUUGGAUUUGAAACUUGUUAUCAUACUUAUGCAUAUGUCAUCUUCAUUUAUUUGUGUGGAUUUACAGGGUUGUAUAUGGAUUUGUUAUGUUUGCAACUUAUUUUCUUUUAUUUUCAAUAGGCUACAUAUGCUUCUUGUACAGUUUCUUUGGAAACAAAUAGGUGAUGGAAAGAAAUGGGAGCUGCAGAGAAGAACCGAUCGAUGGCGGAAUUUUCAUGGAAAUAUAUGUGCUCUACCUAAUGGUCAGUGUAACAACUUGAAGGCACCAUGAUUUCUAGUCAUAGUUUAAAAUUGUUUGAUGUAAAAGGUCGAAACUAAAGCAUUAAGGUAAAAUAUAAUUCACUUUAACUGUUAUUACUUUUUGGGUAUUAACAGCAUUGCAACUGUUAUAUAAUCUUAGGAAAUCAAUAUUGUACAUUACUUUUUCAGCACUAUCAUCUUUUUAUCAUGCCAUAUCGCACUACUAGGUUUGCACAAACCUUGGGGUCAUUAAUUCAUUUUUUCCAAACUUAAACUAAUGCAUUUCAUUAUCAUAUCACAUGUAUUACACAUACAAGAGGUAAACACAUCUUAAGAACUUCUUAUUGAUGUAUAGUAAAACAUAAAAGCAAGCAAACAAACAAACAUACAUAAUAACAAGACCAUGACGAUGAGGGAAUUUGACAACUUCACACAUUUUAUUCAGAGCAAAGCAACAUACCAUCAAAUUCUUUAGAUGGAGAUACUAUUAGGAAUGCCUCUGCAAGUCAAUCCUUUCUCACUAGAAGGAUAAAGCAGAGUGUAUGGCAUAUUCACAGGCCCGUAUCGGUUUCUCAAUGACUCAUCAUUGUUCCUUUCAAUGAGCUUUACCUCAAUUUCAGCCAACUUCCUUCCAAACCUCUUGAAAGCUUCUAAUGGCUGUGAAUCUGAAGUCCAAACCUCGCCUUCAUUUCUCUGUCCAAGGUAUUGCUCAUCAGAAGCAUGCCUUGAUAAGACCUCUAAGAUCGUAAGGUCAGUGAGGGUAUCAUUUUUUGGUGUGAUUGUCCUUAGAUACACCUUUUGAAAGUUCUUAGAAAGCUCGGCAUACUCAGCAGACCCUUUCUCAGGCAUGUGUCUCCGGCUUUUAGUUGGUCGGUUAAGUAUAUAUCCUCCAUAUGGAUAUUGACCAAAAUUAACAGCUGCAUGAUGUGCUGAAGCAAUCCAUAUGAGGAUAGUGCAAGCUUCAAUCAACUCUGUACAAGUUUGCAUCUUAAACCACCAUGUAGCAUUCUUCAAAUCACCAUGACCCACCUCUACAACUUCUCUCCAAAAUGCUUGCAGUUCAGAAUCUUGCGCAACAGCAGCAUCUGACGUGUAGUAGAAACUCACAUAUUCUUCAACCCAUGACUUGAUAGCAUCCCAUAUCUCUAGUCCAUCAGCAGCAUAAGGGUAGUCCUCUAUCAGAAGGCGAAUUCCAUGUGGGGAAGUUGGAUCCUCAACAGCCACUCCUCUAGAUAACAAGCAAGGAAGAUAUCAUUAAUAUAAAAAAUUAAAAAGCUUGAGAUCAGUAUCUAUUUAACCAAGAUUUUAAAUUGGUUGUAGUAUGAUCUUAGUUAUUCUAGCGAAACGCGGUAAAAUACAGUUGAUGUGGCCUCAACCAACGGUGUUUGGACAUAAAAAAACCUUGAUUUCUCGUCUUACAUUGUGGUUACUAACAUUUUUUCCAAUCCUUUUUUUUUACUAAUUAAUUUAUGUGCAGGAUCUAAUAUUUUGUAAGGUUACCUUUUCAGUAAAUCAUUAGGAAGACCGUGCUCUAUGAAAACCCAAUCCUUAUAUAAUAGAGCAGACAAUUCUAAAGAAUAACGUCCCAUCAAGAAUGUCGAUUCUAUAAUACCCUCUGCAUUAACCAAGACAUUCCUUGCAAGUGCAUUAAUGUUCAUUGUGUCACGAUAAUGUGGAAGUAGAAGUUUGUGAAUAGGGUGAACCACACUAAGAUGCCUAUUUGUUGCUAUGAUGAAUGGCUCAACAACAGCAUGAGUGUUCAACCUGUUACACAUGUAGAUAUUAAUGAAUUACUCAUAGAUUGAUGAAAUUAAAUACGUUUGAUUCUAGAAAAACUCAUCAACAUAAUUCGUACCAGUGGCUGACAAGUUGAUGAAAACAGGAGUCAUUUACAACAACGUAAGCUUUGGCAAGUAGCCAAAUAGAAGCUUCAACACCUUCACUUGCAGGCAAGUAAACAUUACUAACAGGACCAUAACUAUCUUCUUGAGGAUGUGGCUUACUUAGCUCAAUGGCCAAUGGCUUCAAAGUUCCAUCAUUUUGUAAGAAAAUGAAGGUUCUCGUAGCAUAUGCCUUUGUAUCAGUUGAGUUUAUUUUCCUCAAAUAUGGAAAUAUUGGGUCAUGGUGAUCAAGUAUGUAAAGCCUGUUGUUUUGGAUAGCCUAUUCAAAAAAAUAUAAUUUAGUCAUUGUAAUUAUUUGAAUCAUAAAUAACCACAAAAUAACAUUGGCAAAGAUGUAUAUUCAUGGUAUUAAUGUUAAACUAUGUCAUUACUUCUUCUACAGUGACCCCAUCCAUGUUUAGCUGUAACUGUUCUUCGGUUAUUGUGCUCGUAUUAUCACCGUAGAGUUGGGUAUCUAGCUUGCUCUUUGGUGGGAACUCCUACAAUAAAUAUAGAAAGUAAUAAUGAAGUUAACAAUUAAAAAUAGGAAAAUGUUAUUUCUAGCGAAGGAAAUAUGGCUGCUCCUAAUUCUUGAAGAUUUCGUGAUGCUAUCUUUCGGGAAAUAUGGUCAAAAUAAAAAUUAAAUUUUCUGUUCGCAAAGAAAUCGUUAAACUAUCAAGUUUACCUGAAGUCUUUUGAUUAUGUGUGGAUUCACACCAGCAAUCAUCUCCCUUGCAAAUUCUCCAUCAGUCAUCCAUGCAGACUGAUUAACUGCUCAAAAUAAGAGCAUUUCAAAUGAUCCGUGAUAUUUUUAUUUAUUCUAUGAAAAUAUAUUGCUAGGACUGAACAUGUGUUUCUAAUAGAUACCUUCAACCACUUUAGGUCGUGGAAACUUUAGGGCCGAUUCACCAUCAGUUCUGAGGAGUUCCUGGAACACUGGUAUGGGGCUAAUUUUGCUAAGUGCAUUAGUAGGUAAUUCAAUUCCACCAUGAUAUAAUGAACGGACAUCUUCAAAAGUGUUAAACUCUGGCUGAUUGAAUUGUAAUGUAAGUGCAGAUCGUAAUUGAGGUAUAACAUUUUGAGAUGCUGAUUUCAGUAUAUAAACAAGAAAGUCUGAAGACUUCAAGUGGCCAAAUGAUUCAUCUCUUGGAAUGUAAACAAAGUCGCUCCGACUCUCACUUUUAUCAUCUGUAACAUACAAAUAGAAGACAUUAGCAACAAGAUCAAUAUCUUUAAAAUCAUAUAGAGGAAAUGUUUUGAUCAUAGGACCUUUAACUUAAGAUAGAGCAUAAAGUUUAUCACCUUUUUUAGCAUGUUUCCUGCCGGUUCUCCCCCUUCGAGGGUAAGGCAAGUUAUUGGAUCCUCCAACAACGGGACGAGCCAAGCUUUCUUUCUUGUCAGGAUCACCCAAGUCAUUGUAAACAUCGUAGUCAUAGAUCCUAUCCGAUUCUUUGCGCUCACCCGUUCCAUCUCCUCUUAAAGUCUUCAAUUCUUCUUGUCUGUAGUAGACUAAUGGAGCUGGUGUUUCGCUUGGAAGGUACGUCUAUAUUUAUAUUUAUUUAUCGGUGUCAAAUUUUGAGAAAUAUAAUUUGUAUUAGCAUGUUAAAGAAAUAUGAUUUUUUUUCAUUACCUUGUUCGUAAAGAAGAUGCGUUUCGUUUUAUACUUUUUAGCAUUGUAAAUCCAUGAGUUGCAAACAAAGUUGAUGGUUCCAUGGAUGGGAAUAUCUUCAAGCGUCAAACUUACAAGGAAGAAUUCUCCUAGCAUGAAAUUUUCAAUAUAAAAUGCUCCUGGAAUUCCCAUCUCACUGUCCCAUUCAAAAUGAACAUCAAAUGCAGAUUGCCCUGCUCCCAAAAUUGGUAUGGAGGUAACAAGACCUUCUAAAUAUGUUUUUUUUCCCACUUUACCUUUUCCACUUCCUACAAAUAUGUCAUAAUGCUUAAUUUAUGUCAAUAUAAACAACUUAAUCUUUUCUUAUGCUAAGUGCUAAAUUUAUGUUCACCCAAGUUGCUUAGAUUAUAUCAAAGUGAAAUAAUUCCUAAUUUCCUACAUAUAUUUUAGUAAUAGUUGAUUUAUUAUUUAAAAUAAGUUACGUCAAAGUGAUAAUCACAAAAAUAAAAAUAAAAAUUUAUAAUAAAACAAAAGGGAAAAUAAAUUGAAUCUUAAUGGACUCAGGAUCAAAUUCUUGUAAAAAUUAAAAUAUAAAGACAAUUUUCAUUUGGAUCCUUUGUAAAGCCAUUCAUUUAAAAACGAUAAACUUUGAAACUUAUAUCACCUGCAGAUUUAAAAAAUGGUGAGGCCUAGGUUGCCUUUGAAAACUCAUGGGCAAUUUACCUAAACCAAUCAAAAGUUUUCAUGUGUACUCCAUUAGAAUAAUAACAUUUAUUAUUUUAUUUUGCAAAAAUUUAGCAAGUAUUUUAUUAUUUGCAUAUUCACCCCAUCUUAAAUUAAUGAUUUUUUACAAUUUAAACCAUCACAAUAAUUAAAUUUCACCUCUAAUUCAAUCACUCUCCAAACCUCUUUUUUAGCUUGGCAAAAAUCAUUAAAAAUUAAAAUUAUCACCCCUGAGAAUCAAACCUGGAUGCUCCCACCUAUUUAAAAUGUACUCUGGAACCACUUGAUCAAUACAUUUUUUAUGAAAUAAUUUGGAAUUCAAAAUUAUGUUAUUAGUGAGCAAAUUAUUUUAUUUUUAUUUGCAGUGCCUUUAUAACCUAGCUUUAGUGAGAAAAAAAAAUCAUUUUAUGUGUGUAUAAUUAUGAAGUAGUAAAUUUUUCUUAAGAAAAAUGAAUUCAUUCAAUUGAUUUUUUAUAUUUUAAAUUUCAUUCUUUUUUAUAAAUUCAUACUUUUAUAUAGAUUCGAUGACCUACGACAAUGUUUCAUUUGUGAUCCACCGAAUUAUGAUUUAUUUUAGGUACUAUUUUUCAUUUGGAUCAGAUAAAUUGUUUAAAGGUAAUAAUUUUUUUUUUUGCAAGGUCUUAUAAGUUAUAACCUAGCUUUAGUAAAAAAAAUCAUUUUAUAUGUGUAUAUUUAUGAAAUAGUAAAUCUUUCUUAAAAAAAAUAAUUCAUUCAAUUGAUUUUUUAUAUUUUAAAUAUCAUUCUUUUAUAUAAAUUUAUAAUUUUAUAUAGAUUCGAUGAACUACAACAUUGUUUCAUUUGUGAUCAAACGAAUUAUGAUUUAUUUUAGGUACUAUCUUUCAUUUUGAUCAGAUAAAUUGUUCAAAGGUAUUAUUAUUAUUAUUUUUUUUGCAGUGUCUUAUAAGUUAUAACCCAGCUUUAGUAUAAAAAAAAUAAAUCAUUUUAUAUGUGUAUAUUUAUGAAAUAGUAAAUAUUUCUUAAAAAAAAAAAAAUGAAUUCAUUCAAUUGAUUUUUUUUAUAUUUUAAAUAUCAUCCUUUUAUAUAAAUUCAUACUUUUAUAUAGAUUCGAUGACUGAUGGGAUAAAACCGCAAGUGCACGAUUCUACCAGAAUUCAGGGCAUUACAAACGCAACAUGUGGCAUAAAAACAUUACUUUAUAUGUAUAUACUAUUGAUUUUCCUGUUCAUUUAAAAUAUUUUAUUUGCUUAAUUGCACUUUUGGACCCCUAUCUUUUCAAAAGUUGCGGUUAUGGAUCCCUAACUAAUUUAAAUACAAAACAGUCCCCUAUGUUUUGAUUCUUUAGCAGUUUUGGACCCCCAAGGCAAAAAAAAAAAAAUUUGACAAGUGGCACCUCACUUAGGGUGCCACGUCAGCGUUGACCGAGUCAACAAUGAAUUGGGGUCCAAAAUUGGCAAAAAAUCAGAACAUAGGGGGCUGUUUUGUAUUUAAAUUAGUUAGGGGUCCAUAAUCGCAACUUUUGAAAAGAUAGGGGUCCAAAAGUGCAAUUAAGCCUAUUUUAUUUACUAUUUUAUCCUUUAAUAAUAUUAUAUUAAAUUUGAAUUAGAAAAAUGAAAUCUCAUUAAAAUAGGAAAUAUACCACUACAACAGGAACAAUACUAUAUAUACUUUUUUUUUUUUUUUUUACAAAAUACUAUAUAUACUAUAUAUGAAGGGAAUAGAGACUUUGGGCUGAAUUUUUUAUAAUUUCAAUUAUACCCUUUAAACAAAUUUUCCUAUAUUAAUGUUCCAUUCUUGGUGGUAUUAAAAAAAGAUAAGAAUUUAUAUUAUAUUUGUUAAACUACUGUGUUGUUGUGGUAAAAGAUAAACAUGAUUUUUUUGGGUUUGUUACAAUUUUAAUUUCACAAAUAUUUGUACUUAUAAUUUUAAUCAAAAUCAAAAUUUCAUAUAAAAUACCGUUCAUAAUUUACACAUGUCACGUGCCCGUUUUUUCGCUAGUUAUAUAUAGUAUUUAUACUAUAUAUAAAGAAAACUAUCUCUUUCAGCACUUUUGGACAGGAUUUUUCUUUCCAAAAAUACCCUUAAUUUUUAAUACAAACAACACAUGUAACAAAUAAAUAAGAAUAAAUUUAAAUAUUAAAACAAAUGUAACAAACACGAUAUGUGUGUUUGGUUUUUUUCCUUUAUCAUUUAAAAAGUGUAACAAACUAUAUGAGUAUAUUUAAUAUUUGCUUUUUUUAUUAUCCCAAUUAUACCAUUAAAACAAAAUCCAUAAUCAUCAAUCAACAACAAGAAGAUCCAACAUUUUAAAAAAUAAAUAGAUAAAUUUAAAGGAAUUUUUUUAAGAUUCUUAUGUUGUUACAUAAUAUUUGGACAAGAUUCUAAUUCUCAUUAAUCUUUUCUCCCACGUCAAGAAUAUCUCUUUGCUUCUUCUGAUUCAUAUUCAUUCAUUCCUUAUUAUUCUAAUUUUUAACUCAAUUCAUCUUCCUAUAGAUUUGCAUCGUUUUUGCUGAACCAAGAAGGACUGUUAAGUAGAAGAAUUCCAGAAUCAUAGAUGUAAUCACAAUAGUUCUCAAUGACAAUGCUUAAAAAAAAUUGAUUUUUUUCCCAAUCUAUCUCUCUCAAUCCCGAUCUACUCUCUAUCCCCUUAAACCCUUUUUUCCUAAACUAUUCCUUACCUCUCAUGCUCUCUCUUCUCCAUCGGAUACCAUUUCCCCUUCUAUCAUCUUCAUUGCAUUCUCCUCUUUCUCUUUCAUUUUUGACUUCUCAAUAAAAAAUCAAUCGCAGCUUCAAUUUUUUAUUGUCGAAUUCGAAUUCGAAUUUGGGGUGCGUGGGUUCGAUUGAGAGAGAUAGGGAUCGAGAUGAUGGAUAUAUAGACAACGGUGUUGAUGGUGGUUUUGAAAAAGAGGUUUUGAUGGUGGUUAUCUGGAUUUUCUCUGGAUUUUUUUUUAUGAAGGUGAUGAAUGAGGGAAAGAAAGAAGAUGAAGUAUGGGAUAUAAUGCUAGAUGUUGUUGGUUCACAGUAAGAUACAGUGGACAUGCAUGAUCUAACAAUCUUUCUUUAUUAAAAAAGAUCAAACGGUUUAUAUUAAAAAAAAUAAUAGGAUCUAUAGUGGACCAGGGGGUUCACCAUAGAUAUUUGAGGUUAAAGUUAAUUUAUUUGCAAACUGUGGGAAAAGUGAAGGACUAAAACGUGAGUUUUAUUAAUUGUGAGACCAAAAUAAAACCAAAGAAUUAAAUAAGCCUUUUUUUUUACUAAAGCUAAGUUAUAACUUAUAAGACAUUGCAAAAAAAAAAAAUUAAUACCUUUAAACAAUUUAUCUGAUCCAAAUGAAAAAUAUUAUCUAAAAUAAAUCAUAAUUUGGUUGAUCACAAAUGAAACAUUGUUGUAGUUCAUCGAAUCUAUAUAAAAGUAUGAAUUUAUAUAAAAGAAAGAUAUUUACAAUAUAAAAAAUCAAUUGAAUGAAUUUAUUAUUAUUUUUUAAGAAAGAUUUACUAUUUCAUAAAUAUACACACAUAAAAUGAUUAUUAUUAUUUUUACUAAAGUUAAAUUAUAAGUCACUGCAAAAAAAAAAAUAAAAAAAAUUGCUCACUAAUAACAUAUUUUUGCAUUCCAAUUUAAUUCAUAAAAAAUGUAUUGGUCAAGUGGUUUGGGAAAACAUUUCAAAUAAGUGGGUGCAUUUAAGUUCGAUUCCCACGAGUGAUAAUUUUAAUUUUUAAUGAUUUUUGCCAAAUUGUUCAACUAAAUUUGAAUGAAUGCAUGAUCUUUGGCAUUAAAUUCCAAAUUUGAUAAAAAAAAAAGAGAGUGAUUGGAUUAGAGGAGAAAUUUAAUUAUUGUGAUGGUUUAAAUUGUAAAAAAUCAUUAAUUUAAGAUGGGGUGAAUAUGCAAAUAAUAAAAUACAUGCUAAAUUUGUGCAAAAUAAAAUAAUAAAUAUUAUUAUUCUAAUGGAGUACAAAUGGAAAAUUUUGAUUGGUUUGGGUAAAUUGUCCAUGAGUUUUUAAAGGUAAUUUAGAAAAAACCUUAAAAAAUUGGUCUGUUACUUGUUUAGCGUACAAUUUAGCGACCGAUUUCAAAGUUUGGUAAAAUGCAAAGUUCACUAAAAUUGUGAAAAUGCUACCACGUUUUUUUCCCCCUCAUCUCAAUUAUCUACUGAUGUGAAAUGUUAUAUGUUAUUAGGAAUUCUCUCAGGUACUUAUGGGUCUGUUUGGUUAACCCCAAAAAAGAGCUUUUAGCUUCUAGCUUAUAGCUUAUAAGCUCGUUUGAUAAAAAAAACUCUGUUUGGUAACACUUUUUUACCAUGAGCUUAUAGCUUAUUUCACGAGCUUAUAAGCUAUUUUUCAGAAGCUAUUCCAAGUAGCGUUUGAGCUUAUAGCUUAUAGCUUCUCACUUUUUCUUCCAAUUUUACCCUUAUUAUUUCAUUUAAAUUGUAUUUUUAUCCAUUAUAAUUUUUAUAAUAAGCUACGUAAUAAAGACUACUAUCCCUUUAUUCCAAUUUUUGUAUAUAUAUCAGCUGGCCUUUUUUUUUUUUUUUGAAAAAAUAUAUACCUUCGUUUUUUUUUUACGAAACAAAAUAUUAUUAUUCUAUUAGUGUUACUUUUUUUUUUUUUUUGAGAUAAGUGUUAUUUUCUUUAUUCUCUGUUAUUAUUAUUACUCUAUUAGUGCUACUUUUUUUUUUUGUUUUUGAGGUAAAUGUUAUUUUUUUUAUAAAGUGGAAACACUUAAAUGAUAAUAAAUAUAAGAUAAAAUUUUAGUGAAUAAAAUUUAAUUUAAUUUAUAAUACAUAGGAUAUAUUAAAUUAAUAAAUUUAAAGUAUUUUUUUAAAGAAAAAUUAGUUUACAAAAUUACAAAUACUUAAAUUAAUGAUAUAAUUUUUAUUAUGAAUUAAGAAUACCCUUUAUGUCAUUUUACAUUUAUCAGCUAGUUGAACCGCUAUUUUUACCAAACACUUCAGUUAGCUUAUCAGCUAUAAGCUAUCAGCUAGCUUAUCAGCUAAAAGCUAUCAGCUAACUUAUCAAUUAUCCGCUAUUUUUACUAAACAGAGCCUAUGUCCACCGAUGUGAAAGGCAAACCAAAGUUUACUAAAAUUUCAAAAUUGUCACUGUGUGCAUCUUUCCCAUUAGGUAUUUUCUGUGCCGAUGUGAAAACCCCUGUUGUAAGAUGUAUAUUUUCUAGUAGUGGUUAUGCCAGCUUGUAGCCUUAGAUCUCUCCAAGGAAGAAAAAAGCUACUAAAAAAACUUGAAUUAGUAAGAAGAACUUUAGAGGAAAAAAAUCUCCCUAAAUUUAGUGACCAAAGUAUAGGGAAAAAAAAUAUUUUUCCAUCACUAAUUUUCGUCCCAAUUUUAUUUGUUUUAUUUUUAUAGUGAAAAUUCUACCUCAUAUAUUAACAAAAGAAUAAAGUUUAAAGGAUCAUCAAAUCAUCAGCACAUUAUAUCUUCACCUAAAAUCAUAAGACACUUACUAUAUGAAUCACUUUUUAUAUGGCAUUUGUUAAGAUAGACUCAUUUAAUUUUUAGAAGUACUACUUUAACAAGUUAAAACUAAAAUAAUAUAUAAAACAAGGGUUUAAGUUAGCAACUUUUGCAGGCAUUUGUUAGAAUAUAUUCACUCAUUUUUUUAAGGGACAUCCACUCAUUUUUUUUUUAGAAGGACUAUAUGUUAGAAGUGAUAAUGAAAAAUUUGUUAAUUAUACACACAGUAAGGUGCAUGUUGCUAAAAUACUCCAAAAAGCUUCCCCCAAACACAUAUUUCAAGGUGCAAAGUUCAAAUUCUUUUAGGAGAGUUGUAAAAUGAUCAUUAGUGUCGAGUAGUAGUAUGAAAGAUUAAGAAGUAAUUACCAUCAACAUUGGUAGCACUAAUCAACCUGAGAGCCACUGAACGGCCAAAGGAGGAAGUGUAGGUAUCAAUUAUAGAGCUAGUGAUAUCACCAACAACAUUGAAUCCACCUUUGAUUAAACCAGUGGCACUUUGAGCUGCAGUGAUUUCGUUGAUAUCCAAUACAUUCUUAUGCAUCAAUAUCACUGUCCCCUUCACCUUUUGGCCUCUGUUAAAGAUACUUUUCACCCCUGAAUACAUCUUAGUAAUUUACUGCUUUUAAUUUUGUAUUCUUUUGCAAAUUAAUGAAAGAAAAGUUUGUGGUUUGCAUGUUGCAACCAUCUCAUUAUUUAUAGGGCCAAAUUAAUGUUCUGAUUCAAAACUAUAUUAUUUUUUUAGAGACUGAUUCAAAUCAUAUGAGUCAAUGUUCUUUCCAUAUUUUAUCCUCAUCCAAAAUAAUUGAUCUACUUGUAAAAAAAAAACAUUUACCAAAAUAAUUUAUCUUUUUCAAUUUGCAUGCAACAUUAACGACUUCUUUUCUACUGUACAAUGGAAUUAAUAUCAUCAAUUUCAACUCAAUAUCUUCAAUUUUUUAUAUAUAUGGUAAAAGUUAAUACAUGAUAAAAGUACUUCAUUAAAAGCAAUCUUCUCUUUACUUUUAACAUAGGUGCAGUUUUUUUUUUUGAAUGAACAUAGGUGCAGUGUUAAAAAAAAAUGGAGUAUUCCUUAAACGAAUUAGUUGUCUUUUUUUAUGUGACUAAAAUGAAGUCGUCUUUGUUUAAACAUACUCUUCUCACAGAAGAUAACCAUGGUUCAGUGCAAUAAUAAUAAUAAUAAUAAUAAUAUUAGCAAGAGGACGUUGAGGACUAUAAUUUGAGAGGUAGGUAGGCGAAUUUACCGGGGCAAUAAUGCAAUGAGAAGAGCACCCAAUUGCAGUGCUUGGCCCCAAAGAUGUUCAAAACUAGACUAUUAGUGUGUGAAGAGAAAAACAAAAGAAGAAAAACAUGAUUUCUCAGUAUGUCCAGUUAUAUUCAAAUUUGUUAUAAUACAAUGUCAAUUGUUGAUUGAAACUAGAGAUUAGUUCAGGUAGCAGAUGAUGUCCUCGAUUAUGAUUCUCUUUCUUUGCACGAUUGACGUUGAGGAAAGAAUUUUCUCCCUCAGCUACGGGUUCCUGAAAUUAUUUAGUAAAAUGUUAAAUAGAGUUGUGUUUUUGGCCAAGAAGUGUAUGUAAACUAAGAUAAAGAGAUAAUGAUAAAUGGAUAAAUUAGCGAAAAAAAUAGCUUGUGUUUGAUUGUGUGUUGACUGUUAACUCGGUCUAAAGUCUUCAAGGUUGAUGUACUAGCCAAUAGACUCGAGAAAGAAUCGACCAACCCUCUUUCGGCUAAAAUAACACUUGCAUAACCUUCUAUCGGCUCGGAAAAUUCUCCCAACCAAAUGUCAUUUUGUGUUGCGUUAUCACUUGAAUUUCGAGUGAUGAGAUGACGCAACGUAAUUGAAAUGGUUACGAACAAUAUCAUCAUUACGUCAUAAAAGUAGAAAAGUAGUCGUUGGGAUGAAUCAAUUUGAGAUCUUUUGUGUAAAAGUAUUUCAUUACUCUCAUUUUUUUUUGGGUAUAAUUACUCUCAUUUUAACGUCUUCUACUUAUAUAUAUGAUUAAAUUUUGAUACAUUAAUAUGAGAAGAGUACUUUAUUAAAAAUAAUUUUAUCUCUCUUUCAUUUAUACAUUGUUCUUCAUCCAUGUGAAUUAGUUAACUAAAUCGGUUAUUUAUGAGGGAGAGAGUAUUUUUCUUUUGAACUAUAAUAUUUAUUUUGUGUAAACCUUCUGAUUUUGGGAAAAUAAACCGCUUUUUUUUUUUUAAAUAAAACUCUAAACUCCAGUUUUCAGUACGUAGGUAAGUUUGAAAUCAUCAAUUGAUCAUUGACAUGCAAAAACUAUUAGCAUGAGGCUAAGCGUGGCAGAUAAAAUAACAAUGAAUUUGUUUAAAAAACAGUAAUAAAGUACUGAAGGUAAAAUACUUUAUCAUAAAAAAAUAUAAUAAUAAUAUAUGUUGAUUGAUCAUAUUUUGACAAAUAGAUCUAUUGAGCUAUUGUUAAUUACAUUCUUACGUGUAUACAAAUAAAAAUAUUCCCUGUACGAGGUUGUCUUUUUUGUUUUUGAUUUUGAUGGUACGAGGUCGUCUUUCUUUCUUUUGUUUAAACAUACUACUUUUCUCACAUAAGGUAACCAUGGUUCAAUGUAAUAAUAUCAAUAAUUGUACAAGAGUUAAUUUAACCGUGCGAUUAUUGCACAUUACGAUGCUCUCCAUUUUCAAUUGUCACUAUUUACUUGUUAACAAAAUUAAAAAUAGUAGAAGUAGGACUAUACUAGAUUCAAUAAUAUUUUAACUUUUAAAAAAUUAAAUUCAUUAGUUUUGACCGUUUCCUAAUACAAUAUAUUGAUAAAUCCUUAAUCAAUGUCUUAAAUACACUUUUUAGUAUUUUUCUUAAAUUAAAUAGUAGGUCAUAUCAGAUUUUUAAAAUGUCACAUUCAAACCUAAAUAAUAAACCUACGACACGCCACAUGCUAGACAUUGAUCUUAAAAAUUUUGGUAGAUUAGACUUAGAUUUUGCAAAAUUUAGUUCGGCCUAACCUAUUAUAUUUUGAAGAUUGCUCUAAUCCAUGUCCUAAUUAUUCAUCCCAUUAAUUCAGCUGUUCAAUAUUUUUCAACGGCAAUUACUGCUACGGGCAUUUUUAAGACCAGUUCAUUUACUUUUUAAAUUGUUUUAAUAGCAAUUUUCAUUAUUAUAUGUACCCCAUAUACGCUUCCCAUGACGUCCAACGCUGACAGCAGCAUGCAAGUGCACUUCACGUGAUCUUGUUCCUUAUUGCAUAGUUAGUUUUUUAUUUUCUAAUUUUACUAUACCGAACUCUAACAUUUUCACACUCAAAGUUCUUGCCCUGUCUCCCGUUUUUUUCUUUUCUUUUUUUAACAAAAACAACUUAUAUAUUUUCAUUCAUCAAAUCAAAUUGAAAGUAAUACAAGAUGGAAUUAAAUAAAAGAUAUGAUGCCGAAUAUACAUAGAUGUGAUAUAAGAUAGAAUAACGAGCAUAUAAUUAUAACACUUAAUAAUAUAUGAGUGACAUAAUUUGUUUGUGUUCAAGCUAAACUCAUCUUAAAGUUUUGAAACUGUUCUACUAAUAAUUUAACUGUGCGAUUGCGCAUUACGAUGCCCUCCAUUUUCAAUUGUGACUAUUUCCUUCAUCGCUCAUAUGAAUUAGCUGUUAAAAGGUAGGUCGUAUCAGACUUUCAAAAUGUCAUAUUUAAACCUAAAAAAUAAAUUUAUGAUAGACCGCAUGCUAGAUACAGGCCUUAAAUUUUUUAACAGAUUAUCCUUAAGUCUUGCAAAAUUUAGUUCGACCUGCCUAUUUCAAAAAUUGCUCAAAUCUAUUUCAUAAUUGUUCAUUCGCUUAAUUCAUUGGAAGUUAACUGUUGCUCGAUAUUUUUCAGCGGCAGUUCAGAUCGGUUUAUUCAUUUUUUAAGUUGAUGUAAAUAGAAAUAUGUACCCCAUAUUCGCUUCCCAUGACGUCCAAUGCUGAUAGAAGCAGCAUGCAAGUGCAAGUGUAUUAUAUUACCGUAUAGUCGCUUGAAAUGAAACCACACACUUCACGUGAUCUUAUUCUUUAUUGCAUUCGUUUUUUCUUCACUAAUUUUACUAUCCCAAAACUCUAACCUUUUCACACUCAAAGUUCUUGCCCUCUCUCCCUCUUUUUUGUUUGACCAAAAGCAACUUAUAUUUUUUCAUUCAUCAAAUCAAAUUGAAAGUAAUAUAAGAUAAAAUUAAAUAAAAGAUAUGAUAACAAGCAUACGAUUUUAACACCCUUAAUAAUAUAUGAGUGACAUAAUUUGUUUGUGUUCUUGCCAAAUUUAUCUUAAAGUUUGGAAAUUGUUCUACUUAUAUCUACAAUUGGACAAAAUACCGUCAAACUUCGAUUGAUUGCUAGAAUUAUCCAUGAUGUCUUCUGCCACUAACUUACAAUCUAGUUCAAUUUUCACGGUUGAUAAUCCUAAUUCUCGAACAUUCAUAGUGAUAUGUCCGGUGAAGAUGAGAUAAAUAUGGGGGUGGUUCUCUCCGGGAACUGCAUUUGUUCUCCGGAAAUUUUUCUUUAAGUUGUAAAUAGAUCAUUUAAGUUGUAUAUUUAUCGCACUCUUAUCCUUUUAAAGAUUUGUUUGAAACUUAAAAACUUAAAAAACUUCAUAUAGGUGUAUUAAAUUAACAAUUUAAAAGAUCUAUUUGAAUUUUUUAAAAAAAAAAAAACAAAAAAACUUAAAGGACAUAUUUAAACCUUAAAAAACUUAACUGAUCAACCUAAUAUUUUUGUCAAACUCAUAAAAAAGCGUUCAUGGCAUACGGUGUUUUCCUUCCAUAAAAAUAAAAAAUAAAAAAUAUCUGAAUGUAUUUUUGUUUUACAAAACUCACAUGGCAUGUUGUAGGAGAUUUGAGAUGUGUGUGGGGGUGGGUGUAAAAUUCCAUAAACCUGAUAAAUCAAAAUUGUUAAAAGUGAGAGUAAAUUGGAAUGGAAAAUUUAAAAAUUGUGGAAGUGGGGAACCACGUAAAAAUAAACUUUUCCAACUUAAACCAUAUGAUAAUUUCUUAAUCUGUCCUCUCAUGUUAUCAGCAGUACGCUUUUAAUAGUGUUUUAUAUUUGAAAUAUACUGCCAGAAAUACAUUUAUGAUAAUAUAAAUUGAUAGAUUUAAGCAAUAUAAGAAGAUUCAUAAAUUAUCAAAACAUGCGCAAUGCUAAAGCCCACAACAUGCAGAUGCACAAAGGAGGAUUCGAUUUGUAGUGCAAAGUUGUUGGGGCAAUGAAAAUCGGAUUUAAUUUGUAUGUAUAGAUAGUAUAAAACUUGUUUACACAUGUAUCAAAUCAAAUUACGCCAUUAAAAUAUUUAUGGAGAUAUUUAAACAAUUCACUUAUAAAAACGACACUUUAUUCUAAUUUGAUUGGAUGGAUAUAUAAAAAGAAAUUACACUACUUGUUCAGAAAAAAAAAAAGAAAUUACACUAUCGGUGCAUAGAAAUGACACUCAUGAAAAUUACCCUUCCUACCAAACAGUAUAUAAAGUCUCUAUAUUAUUGCCAACAACCAUAAAUUAUUGAGGAGGUAGAGGUUAGCCAUUUUAGCACGUUUGUGUUAUUGAGAUAACAAAAUUGAAAAAAGUCAAAAAUUGAGUUAUUUAAAAUGUAGUAGAUUUUGAAAGAAAGAAAAAAAGUUCCAAUGAACUCAAAUUUUUGAGUUUUUGAGAUAACCAAUUAAAAUUGUUCUUGGGACGUAAAACACGCUGAGUAUUAGGGGUGUUCAAAUCCAUACCAAUCCAAAAUAAAACCGCAAACUGAUCCAAAAAAACCGAAAACCGCAAAAAACCAAAUAUUUUUGGAUGUGUUUGGAUGUUGUUUUGGAAAAACCGCUAUGAUCGGAUCGGAUUUCGGAUUGCGUUUUCAAAACCAAACCGAACCGCAAAAGUAAAUUUUUAUACUUAUUUAUUAUUUUAUUAGUAUUAUAUAUUGCACUAAUAUAUUGCUUAUUGAUAUUUAAUCUUAUAUAUUGCAUUAAUUUAAUCUAUAUUAUUACUACUUCAUCUAUUUCAAAUAUAAUCAAUCAUUUUUAUUGUGUAAUGUUAACUUUUUAAAUAAAUUUGUGUCAUAUUUUGUAUCAAACCUAUUAUUUUAUUGUGUAUGAGUAAUAUUAAUAUUUAAAAAAAAAAUUACAUGUUACACUUUGGAUAUCCAAAAACCGAUCCAAAUUAAACCGCAUAUAUUUGGAUCGGAUCGGUUCGGAUUUUUUUAACAUAAUCAUCCAAACCGAACCGAACCGCACGUGAUUUUUAUUUUGGAUCGGUUGAUUUUUAACCUCAAAACCGAUCCAAACCGGACCGCGAACACCCCUACUGAGUAUGUAAGCUUAAUAUUGUUUUUCUUUUACAAAAAGUAAAUUUAAGGGGGUGUUUCUAUCAAGUAUAAUAUUUACAUUUAUGGGAAUACAUAGGUACGGAAUGAGUAUAUCCAUAUUUUUUAUAAGAUUGAGAAAUCAUUAUUCUUAGGUAUCUAAGGUUCUUAGGAAUGAAAUAACUUUUCUUAACUUUAAACAAUCUUACGAAAUUAUUCCCAAGGUAAAGGAUGGAAAAGUAGGUUCCCAUCAAAUUUUGUACACUUUUUUUCUAAAAGAAUAUAACUUGCAAUUCCCCUAGGAGUGUUCAAGAGUGUGCCAAACAUUUUUUUUUUUUUUUAAAUACCCAUGAAUAGAACUCCCGUCAUGAUAUCUUUAACUGUGAUUCCCUUUCUUCAAGCGAUUAAUGGUGAGGAUGGAACUUUGUUUUUAGGUUUUUUUUGCUACUAGACUAGUUGGAAAUGCAUGUAAAAUAACAACGGCAGAAAAAUAAAAGUGAUAAAAUAGGGAAAAUAGUUUGUGAUUGAUUGAUUAUGUGUUAAAUACAUUGUAUAGAGUAUGUACUUAUAGGCAAAACUAUUUCUACUGGCCACAAGAUAUUACCUACAGUGUUUAACCUUGUUCGACUAUUUUCACGAGUAAGCAUCAGCUUUCCCACGCUCGACUGUCAGCUUCCCAAUUAAUGGCAUGACAUGUUGACAAGGUCCAUAAUGUUUAGUACCUCAUUGUCCAGAUCUGCUUGAGCUUUGACUCAAUAUGAUGUCUUCAAGACAAUCGACCUACCCUUGUUUGGCUAGAAUAACACUUGCAUAGAUUUCCAUCGCUUGUCUAUUGAUUUCAGCUAACAUGACAUAUAUAAUUACUUUUAGGUGUAAACAUAUGCUUCCUUGCGUUGCAUUUUCGAUUGGCUUCCAAGUGAUUGGGAUGAUGCAACAUAAUCGAACUGAUUGCGCGUGAACAAUGCGAUCUUUUAUGAAUGGAUAUGAACUAAUAACCCUGUCAAUCCAAUAACUCCAACGGUUACCGCAGUUUUCUCAAUUGGUAUGGUGAUAUCUUCGCCUAUUUGAAAGACGAUCUUUACGUAUAAAUAACUUUUUAUAGACCUGGAUUAUUCCCCAACUUUUCACCCUUUGUCGUUCUUUUUAUGUGGCUUCCUAUCCACUAAAUAAUUCAUGACUAUUACUUUUUCUACCCUGCUGCCUUCUCGCGCGCCCUGCAAAAUUUACUAAAAUACCCCUGGUCCGGAUUACAUAAUCCGGAGCAAAUUGUUAGUGAUAUCCGAAAAACGAAAUUCGGACCAGAUGUUAUGCGUUUUUUUGUGUCUUUCUUUGAUGUCAAGGGUUUCUGUUGACCGUUAUAUGAACCCCACACAAGUUGCAAUGUUAUUCCAGGGUUCAUACGAACAGUCAAUAAUGACCAUGACACCACUAACACCCCAAAAAAACUAAAAACAUUUGAAGAAAAUGGAAGAAAAGAGGUGAAAUGAAGAAUGAAGGUAUUUGUUGAAGAUGGAAGCAUGUUUAUAGCCUAAAACAAGUCCUAGGUCAUUAGUACAGUAAAUGAAAACGUGUUAGUGGUUGUAACCGUCCAAACCCACAUUAAUGGCUCUCUUUCAAAAGAAUCCAAUGCUGAAGCUUUCAAGAUUUUACAUUCCGGAAUAACCUUAGCCCUACAGAAAGUGCCAACUUUUCCCUUGUUCACCAUUAUCGCAUUAAUCCGGAAAAUAUAUUCCGGAAAACAAAGGUGCAUUUCAGAUUUUAUUUUCUGGAAUGCAACAAUGUCAUGGCCAGUGGUCUGCACCACACAUUUUUGUCGAUGGUCAGGUAAUAAAAAACGUGUUUUAUCACGUUUUUUGACUGCAUUUAUGGUCUCCCAACCGUUUUUGCCCCUCCCUAUAAAUAACCUUCCAAACCCCACAAUUUCUCACACCAUCCUCUCUCACCCUCUCCUCCUCUUCUUCCUUCUAAAACCAUCGUUUUUCAUCGUUGGCCUUUCAUAGAUAAGGGUCUCGUUGAAAACUUUCAAGGUUUGUAUGAACGGUCAAUGUGGAUGGAACAGUGCUGCAACGAAGUGCGGUUCAUCUGAGGGUCAUGUGGGUCAGUGUGGUUCUUAGCUUGGCCUAUCUGGGCGUAAGUUUCAGCACCCCCACCUCCCUCAGGGACAUUGUUUUCUUCUUCCUGCCUUCCUCUUCCCUCCUCCUCCUCCGGUUUUCCUCCAUUAGGGAACCUACUGCUAUGUCCUAUCGCAUAGUAGUGAUUAGGAUCUUAGGAGAUUAGAAUUAGGCUCUUAGGAUAUUAGAAAUAGAUUUAGGAUCUUAUAUAAUAAGCUUAAAAAGCUUGAAAAUUAUUGUAAUGUAUAGUUCAUAUAUUAAUAAAAUGAGUUAUUUUUAUGUUUGUGUCCUUUUAUUUCUGUUUUUUAUUUUAUUUUACGAAUUGUAAAGCUUAAAAUUGCAAAAGUUAUGGUAAAAUAUUAUUCCGGAUUUUCAAAUCCGAUUUAAAAAUACAUUCCGGAAAACGAAAUUCGGACCAAGGGUAAAAUUGAAAAAAAAAAAAAAAAAGGGUGUGCAAGGAAAGAUAUAGGGUGGAAUAGGUAAAACUCACAAUUCAUUUUGGUGCGUCCUUCAACCCUCAAACCCAAUAGUCAGAGAGCUUUGCCAAUGAUUAUUCUCUAGUUUUACACCCGAUAAUUUUCUUAAUCUUGUCAUUUUCAAGAUAAAAGACCACUAAUUCAGAAAACGAGAAUGAGAAGGGAAGUGGCAAACGAACUUUGACUCGUAAAGGCAAAUUAAAGCAUGACAAUGUCUAGAUAGGGGAAACUUAAAUUCCUAACAUUUCAUGGGAAGGUAAUAAUUGUCUCAAUCGAUUUCCAGAACUAACACUUCCUUCAUUUACUAAGUAAUUUCUUAUCCUUGUUUUUAAGAGUCUUUGUGCAAUUUUAUUUAAGGAUUUUUAGAAAAUUCUAAGGAGGUGCUGAUAGUUUAGUGAAGAGUCUAUGAUGUUUAGAGAAACCAUUUUAAGUCUUGUAUUUUCCUACCUAGACAACUCUAUAAAUGUCAUAAGUCUUUUUGUUAUAGACGCUAUGAGUUGAUUUUAUCACUAUGACUAGAAAAACUCAUUGGAUUAGUAUUGAAUGAUCAACUUCAAUGAUGUUGUUUGAACUAUAUGUAAUCGAUGAUGUCCUCUAUUAAUGCAAUCUGAAAUAUGCUUAUAAGGUAUACCUUGUGCUUAAUGAUUUUCAAUGCCUGAUAAACUCUGAAUUGAUUUUAAUUUAUAGUUCACAAUCAACACUUGUUUUUGUAACACGAACUAGGUAGUGUUCUUUAAUCAAUUUAUCUAGACAUAAGGUAUUAAUUAGUAUGGUCGGUAGUUUAACUGUCAAUGAAUCUUUUGAUAAAAUUAGUUUCACCUAAGAAAUUAGGGUUCUAUUUUAGAUAAAUGGGACGUCGAGGCAAGAAAUUGGUCGUGGUCUAUUUCUUUAAACUGUUGUGAACAUAGAAAUCAAAUUGUUAUUGUCUAGGAACUAGUAUUAUCAAAGAAAAUCUUUCUAUAAUUUAAUUUGCGAAACCAAAUCUUACGAAAACUCCCCCCAAUUUAACUUUUUAAUAAGUAUUGUUUAAUUGUCAAGUAUAAACAAUAAUAUUUGUGGAGAGGGAUCUUUAUAAACACUAUUACUUGAUCUGCCAAAGAGUCCAUCAAGCUUUUGGCGCCAUUGUUAGGGAAUCGUUGAUGAUCUCAACAAGGUAGCUACGCUCUACUUACAUGAUUUGUUUUUUUUUGUAAUUUAUUAUAAAAACAUAAAAAUAUUUACUUUUGGCUCUUUAAUCUUAGUGUGUGUUGUGCUAAAUAAAUAUUCUUGAGUGUUGUUAUGCGAGGUGGAAGCUCAGGUACCUUGUUAUUUGAUUCUGAGGUUGAGAAGAUUACAAGAGAAAACCAGAAAGAUUCUUUUUCUAUCUCAGUACCCCUCAAAUAAUCUAAAAAUACUAUCAGAGGGAGAACAUAGGCAUGGUUAGAGAUGGUUUAGCAAAGGAAACUCAAGUUUGAGUUUUCCCCCCAAAAUCCUAAAAUACUCUUUUUUUCCUUAUUCUUUUUUUUCUUCCAGAAUUAAUGAACGAUGGUGUGCAAGUCCUAUAUUUCACCACUUAUAUGUCACGCAGGUUCUAUUGUAACUUCUUUCAUUUAUUACUUUCGUUGUUCUUUUGCUUGAUCUAUUCUUUUUUCCAUGUCUAUUCUCUGUUCCGAUUUGUUUUGAUUUUGUGAUCGAUAUUAUCUCUACUGUUACUUCUUUCGGUUAUUGUAUCCCUUGGUGUUUGAUUAUGUUUCACAUUGAUAAACUUAAUAGUGUUUUUACUUUUUACUUGUUGAAGAGCUUACAUUUGUGUCUAUAGAGUUCUAUUGGAAGUAAAUUGUUUAUUUUUAUGUUUUCUUAUAUUUUUGUUUGUUUUUGUAUUCAACUUGGCUAUUGUAAUCACACCUCUGUUUCCGGUAGCUGAAUUAUUAUUGUCUAAAUUUGAUCAAAGGCAACCUAGCAAUUGAAUAAUCGAGCCUUGUCGGAAAGUGUCAUUGUCACCACUCAAUGGAUGAGAAACCAACAAAAAAGCCGGAUUAUUAGAAGAAUGAAUGUGAAAGAAUUGUUACCAAUCAUGGAAGUCAUGGGAGGUACAUAAAGUUCAACAAGAUCACAAAAGAAUAGCGUGAGAAGGAGAAAAAAGUUGUGCGAGAAAUCAGAGAGAAUUGAGGAAAAACUCAGUUGAUACCAUAUUUGAACCAUAUGAGACAAUUGAUUCCUGAAAUAAAAACAUUAAGGCUGCAUUUGAUACAAGAGGACUAGAAUGUUACAAGGUACAAACAGACACAAUAAUUCUUAUUGAUGUAAAGUAAAACAUUAACAAUAAAACAAACAUACAUAAUAACAUGAUCGUAAGUAGGAAGUGAGGGAAUGGAAUUCCUUCACAUCUGUUAUUCAAAGCAGCAACACAACAACCAUGAUCCACUUUAGAUGGAGAUACUAUUAGGAAUGCCUCGGCAAGUCAAUCCUUCCUCACUAGAAGGAUAAAGUAGAGUAUAUGGCAUCUUCACUGGUCCGUACCGAUUUCUCAAUGUCUCAUCAUUGUUCCUUUGAGUGAGUUUCUGUUCAAUUUCAGCCAACUUCUUUCCAAACCUCUUGAAGGCUUCUUUUGGUUGUGAAUCUGAAGUCCAAUUGUCACCUUCAAUUCUAUCUCCAAGGUAUUGCUCAUCAGAAGCAUGCCUUGACAAGACCUCUAUAAUGGUCAAGUCAGUAAGUGUAUCAUUCUUUGGUGUGAUUGUCCUCAAAUAAGACUUCUGGUAGUCCUUAGCAAGCUCAUCAUACUCAGGUGAUCCUUUCUCAGGCAUGAAUCUUCUACUCUUUGUUGGCCGGUUAAGGAUAUAUCCUCCAUAUGGAUAUUGUCCGAAAUUAACAGCUGCAUGAAGUGCUGAAGCAAUCCAUAUAAGGAUGGUGGAAGCUUCGAUCAACUCUUCACGGGUUUGCAUCUUAAACCACCAUGUGGCAUUCUUCAGGUCACCAUGACCAACCUCUACAAGUUCCUUCCAGAAUGCUUGGAGUUCAGCAUCUUGUGCAAUGGCAGCAUCAGACUUGUAAUAGAAAUUCACAUAUUCACCAACCCAUGACUUAAUGGCAGCCCAUAUUUCUAGUCCAUCAGAAGCAUAAGGAUAAUCCUCUAUCAGAAGGCGGAGACCGGUAGGAGAGGCUGGAUCCUCAACAGCUACUCCUCUAAAUAACAAGCAAGGAAGAAAUAUUAACAUACAAAAAAUAUGUUCUAUGGAGUUAUUAUUAAUUAAAGUGAUUUUAAUGAUCAUUUUACAACUGUUUUAGAGGAGAUUUAAGCCCGUAUAACAGAAAUUAUUAGUUAGAGUUUGUUGAUAAAAAAUUGACAGACCAAAGAUGUAAGGUUACCUUUUGAUUAGAUCGUUAGGUAGUCCUUGCUCAAUGAAAUUCCAAUCCUUGUAAACAACAGCAGACAUUUCCAAAGCAUAAUUUCCCCACAAGAAGGUUGAUUCUAUAAUACCCUCUGCAUUGACCAAGACAUUUCGUGCAAGUGCAUUUAUGUUCAUUGUGUCACGGUAGUGAGGAAGUAAAAGUUUAUGAAUAGGGUGAACCACACUAAGAUGCCUGUUUGUUGCUAUGAUGAAUGGCUCAACAACAGCGUGGGUGUUCAACCUGUCACACAUGUCGAUAUUCAUGAAUUAAUCAUAGAUAGGUUAAUUAUGUUUGAUUGUGUAUACGUGAUUAAUGAGAUUCAUACCAAUGGCUGACAAGUUGAUGAUAGCAGGAGUCAUUUACAACAACAAAAGCCUUGGCAAGGAGCCAAAUUGAAGCUUCAACACCUUCACUUGCGGGCAAGUAAACAUUGCUAACAGGACCAAAACUAUCACCUUGAGGGUGUGGCCUGCUUAGUUCAAUGGCCAGUGGCUUCAAAGUUCCAUCAUCUUGCAAGAAAAGUAUGGUUCUGGUAGCAUAGGCCUUUGUCUCGGUUGCAUUUAUUUUCCUCAAAUAUGGAAAGAGUGGGUCGUGGUGAUCAAGUAUGUACAAUCUAUUGUCUUGGAUAGCCUGUAUGACAAAAUAAAAUUUAGCUACUGUGGUUUACUUGAAUAAAAAAAAUUCAAUCAUGGAGAAAAAUAUUAAUCAAACUAAGUCCAUGAGGUGUCAACCCAGUGGUUAAAGUCGACCUUAUAACCUCAAGGGAUAGAUUUCAAAUUUUCUCCCGGACGAAAUUCACGAACGCCACUUUGGAAAAAAAUAGAACUGAUCAAAUAUGUCAUUACCUGUUCUACGGUGACCCCACCCAUGUUUGGCUCCAAGUUUUCUUUGGUUAUGGUGCUGGUAUUAUCACCAAAUUUUUGGCUAUCUAGCUUGCUCUUUGGUGGAAACUCCUGUAUUAAAUUUAGCAAGCAAUAAUGUCACCAAUUACAAAAAUAACAUAAUGUUUACAAAAUAGUCUUAGUUUUAUUUUUUUAAUUUCUUAACAAAGUUAAACUAUUAGCUUUACCGAAAGUUUUUUGAUGAUGUGUGGGUUCACCCCAGCAAUCAUCUCCCUUGCAAAUUCCUCAUCAGUCUGCCAUGCAGAAUGGUCCACUGUUCAUAUUAAGAAAUUUUCAAAAGAUCCAUUAGAUUUCUUUAUAUGAUUUUGUAUAAAUAUAUUACUGCAAGGACUAGGUAUUAUGAUUAAUAUAUACCUUGAAUCACUUUUGGUGGUGGAAACUUAAGUGCUUGUUCACCAUCAGAUCGGAAAAGUUCCUUGAACAAUGGUAUUGGACUAAUCUGGCUUAGUACAUCAGUAGGAAGCUUAAUUCCACCCUCGUAGAGAGAGCGCACAUCUUGAAAGGUGUUAAACUCAGGGUUAUUGAGUUGUAAUGUAACUACAGAUCUCAGUUGAGGUAUGACAUUUUGAGAUGCUGAUUUGAGUAUGUAAACAAGAAAGUCUGAUGACUUUGUGUGUCCAAAAGAUUCAUCUCUUGGAAGGUAAACAGUGGGACUUCGAGUCUCACUCUUAGGAUCUGUUCAAAUAUAUAAUAACAAUAUAUGUUUUAGAAACAAUACCAAAAUCUUUAGAAUCAUAAGCAGGGUAAACAUUUGGAUCAACCAAAAAAACACAUGUUUAGUCCAAAAUCUGACAGAAGUGUUUGUGGCCUAACCUGUUUUAGUUUUUCUUCUGCCAGUUCUUCCCCUUCGAGGGUAAGGGAAAUCGCUUGAUCCCCCAAGAAUUUGACGCGCCAAUUGAGGUUUCGAGUCAGGCUCACCCAAAUCAUUGUAGACAUCGUAAUCAUAUAUUCUUUCCCAUUCCUUGCGCUCUCCAGUUCCAUCUCCUCUUAAAGUCUUCAAUUCUUCUUGUCUGUAGUACACUAAUGGAGCCGGUGUUUCACUUGGAAGGUAUGUCUACAUAAAUUUAAUCAUUCAAAAUAUCAAGUUUUAGGAAAUAGGCUUAAUAUUCAGCAAGCUAUAUAGUUAUUAUGAUAAAGUGGAUUUGUGAUUUGAGACAUCAGAAAGAGAUUGGGAGUUGCAAGUUCUCAACUCCCUCUACUCGCAUUUCUAAAAACUAAUUACUAAUAUUUGUCGUUAUAAUAGAAAUAACAAGCUACAUGUGUAAUAGAAUUUUUAUUCUUACCUUGUUGGCAAAGAAGAUGCGGUCGGUUUUGUACUUUUUAGAAUUGUAAAUCCAUGAGUUGCAGACAAAGUGGAUGGAUCCAUGGUUUGGAACAUCUUCAAGUGUCAAACUCACAAGGAAGAAUUCACCUUGCAUAAAAUUAUCGAUGUAAAAAGCUCCGGGAAUUCCCAUGUUACUGUCCCAUUCAAAAUGAAUACUGAAAGCAUUUUGUUUGUCUCCCAAUGUUGGUAUGGAGGUAAGAAGACCUUCCAGAAAUGUUUCCUUUCCCACUUUUCCUUUUCCAGCAGCUAUAUUAAAAAUGUCAAAUAUUAUUAGUUUCUCAAUUUCACUAAUCCAUGAUUUUCAAAGUUUAAUUUUAUUCUUUUACAGAUCCAUUUUUCUUUUUACAUGAUCAUCAUCCAUCUUGCCUGAGUUAUAUCGAAGGGAAAUAAUUUCAAUAUUUUAGUGGUAAUUGAUUGUACCUGAUCAUUUAUAACCAAUAUUCUACAUCAAAAUCUCCAUUGCACAUUUUUAAUUUAAUAAAAAAAACAAAAGGGAAAAUAAGGUAAAUCUUAAUGGAUUGAUGUAUCAAAAACUCUUCUUGAAUAAUAGGCUGGCUUGGUGGUGUGGUGGAAGAGUUAUGGAGUAAUUAAUGCAGUCUGAGUUCAAUUCUUACAUCUAGCAAAAACUAACAACCGACAUAAUACUCAUUCGAUAUUAUUUAUAAGAAAUAAUGAAUUUUUUGAUUUAUUGAAUAAUUAAUGUAUAUGAUAUAUAUUCUAGAUCGAAUACAUAAAUUAUUCAAUGAAUCUAAAAAAUUAAUUAUUUCUUAUAAAUAGGAUUGGAUGAAGUAAUAUUUAUUGCUUAAAAAAAUAAAACUCCUCAAUAUUUUGUUGUUAAAUCAGAGAUAUCCUCCACGUGCAAAUGUCUGUCACUUAUGUUAUGUCACACAAUGUUGGUAAAAGAGUCUAAGUAAAGAGAUCAUAGAAGUAUGAAAAGAAGCAAUUUUAAAUAGAAAAAGAUAGUAGAAUUUACAAUUUUAAAAAUCUAAUAAGACAGAAGUUCAAAUAUAAAGUAUAUAGAUGGGGAUGUCAAAUUUUAAAUAGCUUAUGGUACAAGAUUAAUUUAAAAAAUUUAAGUGAGCAUGUGCACCCAUCACGUAGAUCCAUACAUACCAAAUGACAAAGAUAAAGUCCAAAACAGUUGCCAAACGCCAAAUAUCACACUUAUUUGCAUUAUAUAUACUUCUUUUUUUACAAAACCAUUAGAUAUACUCCCUUUAAUAUACAUUGGAUAUAAGUUUUUAUAUAGUCAUUUUUUAUUCCAAUAGUACUAUUUUUUCCAUAUCAUUUUAUUACUUAAUCAAAUGUCCAAAUUAUUUUAAAUAGUUACUUAAAUAAUUUCAUAAUUUCUUUAUUUUAAUUAAGAAGAGACAACGAUGAAAUUUUUGUCUGUCAAGUAAGGAUAUAGUUUUGCAGUUAAUAAAAGAAUAUAAACACAAUUUUUUUCUUUUCAUAAAUUUCAUCAAAGAAGGUAAUCAAUCUUAUUCAGAAUCCGUCGAUCAGACACUAAAUGUGAUACCUCUCUCAAUCAAGAUUCUAAAAUCAUUCUCGUCCGUUAGAUCCAAUUACUUCCAUUGGUGUACACAUAAUUUAAAUAAGUUAUAUCAAUCAAUUAAUUAAAAUGCCUAUUUCUUGUAUGAAUUAAACAUAGUGAGAAAGGUCCUCGUGAACUAGCUCAAUUGAUAGAGACAUAUAAUAUAAUAUAUGCAGGGGUUGAAGUCCGAACCCUAAACAUCCGACUUCUCCAUAUUUAAAAUGUGUGAGCUCCCGUCACUGGGUUAAUUGACAAAAAGAAAAAUAGAGUGAGAAAGAGAAAUGAGUUAUUACCAUCAGCACUUGUAGCACUAAUCAACCUGAGAGCUAUAGAACGUCCCAAGAAGGAAGUGGCAGUAUCAAGUAUAUUGCCAGCAACAUCACCAACAAUACCAAAGGCACCACCAAUGAUACCAGUAGGGCUUUUAGCAGCAGUGAGGGCGUUGAUAUCCAAAGUAUUCUUUUGCAUCAACACCACAGUUCCCUUCAACUUUUGGCCUCUAUCAAAGAGACCUGUUACACCAGAAAACAUCUUUGAAUAUGCUUUAAAUGUAUUACACUAUAUAUGGUAAAUGAAAGAAAGGCUUGUGUCUUGUAACCAUAGGGGUGGUUAGUAUUUAUAGUAGUUGAUGAGAUUAGGAUCACAAUGUUAUAGUUCAAAUGAGGUGAUAUUUUUAUUCAACUACUCAUUUACAACAUGGUGGAAUGCAAUUGGUCACGUCUUAUGCUAAUUUUUUAUUAUGAGUGAUUAUCUCGUGGUAUAUAAAAUAAUAAUAUAUCCGAUUGCAAAAUUAUUUUGGUAGUUGUUAUAUGUGCCAGCCUUGGCAUUAUGUUCAAUAAUAAUGACUCUGUUUGCUCUAUUGUUAAUUAUUACUACUAUCUUACGUGUCUGCAUUGGUUUUCUCGAGUUUUCUCAUAUUUUUUAAAGUGGGAAAAUCUCUACCCUUAAAAUUCAUUUCUUUCUUAUUUUAAUUUCAAAAUCUCUCCUCUUUUUUUUUUUUUUUUUUUUUUCUUUUUCUUUUUCUUUCUCUCAUACUAUCAAAUCAAGAUUAGGAUUGGACUUGAGAUACAUUUGCUUAGUCACAAACAUAAAAAUGAGUCAUUUAACACACACAAUGUAAUAAAAAAAAUUGAUUUGGUGUUGUGGUCUAAUUUAACACUUACUAUAUAAGUAUUUCUCCAUCCAAAGAUGGAUCCAAAAAUCUAUUAGCAAUUUUAGUUCACGGCCUAAUUUAUUCUCUUGUUUGGGAGUCUUUUGUAACAAUUUUUGUUUUUUUAUUUUGGGUUGACGGCAAGACCUUUGUCUUUUGAUGUAACUAUACUCUUUUUCCUUGUUCUUUUGGCACUUUCUGUGCUGGAAUAGCAGAUAUUUUUCAAAUAUAAGCAAUCAACGUUUGUUCUAGGGCGCUCUAUAUAUGGAUAAUGUUAUCAGCCACGUUUUUGACAUUUGCAUCAAUUUUUUUCUUUAUAAAUGAUGAAUAAGACAUGUAUUACUAAUGAUGGUUGAUAUUCCAGCUAUCAUGGAAUCCAAGUCGCCAUAGUACAAUGUUUUUAAAAUCCCAGCUAUGUUGGCAACCCAAAACAUCGUGUGUCAAAUGCGCCACAUCUUAUAUAUUAUUAAUAAUAAAAAAUACAAAAACGAAAAAAGUUGAGUUAAACUCAACAAAGCUAAUUAAAAUGAUAGGUAUGCAUACCAAACCUAUCUAAAAAAACCACUGAUAAUAAAACUAGGACAUAUAUACCACCAUUGAAAAUCUCCAAUUAGUUUACAAAUAUCAACGAAAAAACUUCUCCUUUUCCUCUUGUGACAUAGAUGAUCUCCAGUAGGUUUCUGCGUUUUUCCUCUUCAGUUUCGUGUUUUGCUGCUUGCGUUGGGGGUGUGAAAAUUAAACACUGAUGACUUGUGAAAAAAAGAAGCAUAAAGGGCUGCUGGACUAAAGUCUGAUAAUUGUUGGUCCCUCUAUUAUUUUUGUUAUAUACACCCCUCUAUAAACGAUUAUUGUUAUAUACACCCUCGUAUAAAAAAAUUAGGUCCCUAAAGGCAUGGGCCCUAGGCUGCCGCACCCCAUCCUAUAUCUAUGGCUGGCCCUGAAUGUUAUCGUUGUAAUAGAAGUGGUUUAAUAUAUAAAAUGAAAGACAUAAGGUAAAUAGGGUAAUGUUGCAUUAAAAAUGGAUGUUGGUAAGGCAUGUGGCAUUGAUAGGUCAUUUGAAAGAAAUUUUGAUGAAGAUGAGGUUAUGUCAGUAGUGAAUGAACUAGAUAAUGAUGUGUAUUAAAAUGGUGGAUUAUUCCAUUAUUGUUAACAAUGAAAUCACAUGACCAAUCAUACUCGGACGAGGCCUUCAUCGGAGAGAUUCUUUGUCUCAUUGUUUAUUCUGUGUGCAGAAGGCCUAUGUGCUCUUAUUAAGUAUGUCGAGGCUAGUGGAGAGCUUCAUGGGGUCAAAAUUUGUCGAAACACUUUGAUUAUUACUCGAAUUUUAUUUGCAGAUGACUACUUUCUAUUUUUCAGGGAAGGUGAAGCGCCGAGACUCAAAAUAUGAAGCAAAUUUUGAGGUUGUACAGAGCAACGUCUGGAUAUUACAGCUUAAAUGCCCAACAAUCCCUUCAAAAUGCUUUUACAACAACCUUAGGGGGGUCAGGCGGUGUUAUGCACAAUGAAGUACAUCGGACUACCCUCUAUGAUUGGUAGAAGAAGGAAUGUUACGUUCAGCUUUCUCAAAGAUAUGACUGGAGCAACAAGUAUUUGUGAAAGGAAGAUAUAAUGAUAAAAACAUGUACUGCAAGCAAUACCAUCUUAUGGAAUUAGAAUUUUCUUACUUUCUACCAUGUUCUUUGAUGCCAACGAAAAGAUUAUUAACACGUACGUACUGGUGGGGUCAUGGUGGUUCCACAAUUAGAGGUAUUGACUGGUUAUCAAGGGACAUGCUUGUUGUCUACAAAUUUUUUGGAGGUUUGGGGUUUAAAUACUUGACGUCAUUCAACUAAGCAAUGUUAGGAAAACAAGAUCGGAAAUUCCACACACACUUGGACUGUUUGGUAUCAAGACUGUUCAAGGCGCUCUAUUUUCCUCAUGGAAGCUAUCUAGACCGAAAGUGAUGACAGAGCACUAUAUGACAUUUUGGGCUAUGUUUUUAGUACUUUUAUUUGCAUUUGAAGACAUAUAAGUUGAGAGAUAGAGGAGUUGUUAAUGGUUUGGGAAACAUAUUGUAUUGUUUUCAAUCGAGCCGUUGUUCUUGAUGCUUGACAGUUUAAGGAACCUCUAGGGUAUGUUUUUUAAACAUCGUUGUUCCUUGAUUGAGGAACCUCUAGAUAUUUCAUGAAGUGUAAUUCCUUUAGAUGACAAUUUAAGAGUCACACGGGAUGUUGCAGUCAAAAGAUGUGAUCAUGGCUUUCAUAAUUGAGUUAUGGAUAAAACGACAUCUGUAGGAAUAUUCUCUCUAUAGUAAACCACCGUUUAUGUAAUUUUUAGGUUUUAAUUAAUAGGUACUUUGCAUUAAUCCAACAAAGAGGGAAGAGGGAAGAGGGGAUUCAAGGAUUCCCUAAUCACCGUUAUACAUCUAAAUCACACAAACAUAAUCUUUCUUUGGAUAGGGAAAUUUAACCAUGCAAAUCUUUUUUUCAUCUCUUUUCUAUUUUCUUUCUAAUAAGUUUUGCUAAUUACCGAAAAACUUGCUACUUUAUUAAUUGUUAUGAUUUGGUGCACUUGCCAAUUUCGUCCUUCAGAAAGCUUGGACAUAAAUCAAAGCUUUAGUUGGAGAAGAAUAUUUACCGCUAAGAGAGUAGUACAAAAAGUUGCUCGGUGGAAGAUCAGAUCGGGUACAAAGUUUCAAUUUUUUAUGCUUUGUGGGUAAAAGAUGGGACAAGUAUUCUAGGAGAUGGUCAACCUCUCAAGGUAAUUCAACAGGCUAAAGUGCACAAUCUCGUUGAUCAAGAAUUUCCCGUAUAGAACAAUCAUAUUGUAAACCAGUGUUUUGAUCAACUUAUAAAUGAGCUCAUUCUGAGUACUCCUUUAAUUGAGUCUGUUAAAGAAAGAUAAAUUAAUUUUUAAAUCAAAGAAAAAUGAACAUUACUCGGUAAAAAUUGUGUACAAGAUUUAUACAUAAAAUAGUGCAGGCAACUCAUAUUUAUGUCAGUAAGGUCAUUGGCUGGAAUUUAGAAGUUAAAGGUGCAUCCCAAAGUGAAGGAUUUCAUUUGGCUGAUUUAUCAAGGUUGCUUACCGACGCGUGUAAGGCUGAAAGAUCGAAGUCUCCAUUGUCUGUCUAUUUGUAUGAUGUGCACCGGUAACUAUGGGGAUGCAAUGCAUAUAUUGUUUGAUUCUCCGUAAAUAGGAUAUGUAUAUAUUUUUCUCAAGUGCAUUAAUUUUAUCAUUCAUAGCUCCAGCCCAGUUUAUAUUUUUAAAUGUUUCUUCAAUAGAUGAUUUGAUUCUCACAUAAUCAACGGCAACAAUAAAACUUUGAUUGUGUGGAAAGUUGUUUAGUGGAGACAUAUUGAGAAAUAUGUAUGAUAUCUAUAUAUAGAGGGACAGAUCGAUAACAUUUGCAAUCAUCUACAACAGGCCAUGUUACCCAAGAACAAUCAUCAAUAAAAGAAACAAACCACCUUGCCCCAUAAAUAUUAGAAACAACAAGAAAUAUUAGAAACAGGGGCCGAUCGGCAGACAUCAAAAUGAAUAAGAUCAAAUGGUUCAACACUUUUACGAAGAUUCAACGAAAAAAGUGGUAUGUGUACGCUUAUAAAAUGGAUAUAUAUAUCACAUUUAAAAGACUAAAUCGAUUGCAUUAAAAAACAAAGAUGGAAACAUAAACUUCAUUAGUUGAAAAUGAGGAUGACAAAGACGUUUGUGCUGAAGCCAAAUUUGAGAGGCAGAAUAAGACUCUGACUAAGACUGAAGUGCAGAAGACAACACCUUCUGAUCAAUUCGUGCAUCAUACAAAUAAUAUAGCCCUCCUUGUUCCUAAGCAACUCCAAUCGUCUUUCCCAUUACAAGAUCCUCGAAAGCACAAUGUGAAUCAAAAAAUAUUACUGCACAAAUAUUAUCCUUUAUAAGCUUACGAACAUAGAUAAGGUUAUUCCAAAGACAAGGAACAUGAAGCAUAUCUUUCAACUUAAAAGGUUCAAGGUUAAUUUCUCCACAACCAUCUACACGAGUAUGAGAACCAUAUGCAGCCGCAAAAAAGAAUGUCAUAUGAAGAAAUUUACUUCAAAAAGGCCAAGAACCAAUGUCAUAUGAUCAAUAGCACUAUAGUCAAUAAUAUAAUCAACAUUUCAAGCAAAAACCACAUAUAACUAUUUUCAGUCACAUUGGCUGAUAACUACAAAAGAAUCUCCUCAAAAGAACAACAAAAAGAAGAGGCUUCAAAUAACAAAAAAUAGGCAACAAGGUAAAAACCGUAAGUCGCAACAACGUAAAAUCACCAAAUAAAAGUCAAACUGAAUCACAAAGGGUCCUCAAAGAUGCUGGUAGUCACAAACAAGCACAAAACAACCGCUAUCAAUCAGUUAGUGUCAAGAGUACCCACGUAAAAUAGUAUCUUGGUCUUGGAUCAAGAUUUUGACCCCUUAAACGAACCAAUUAUGUGAAGACUAUAAUUUCUAGGAAUAAAUGGUGUCGAAUGGUGGUUCACAAGGUGGCAUGUGCAUCGCACUUGAUGGAGCUUCACUUUAGAUUGGGCCUCUGCUCUCAACUUCUCAAGUUCUUCUUCAAAAAGUAUUUGAGAACAAAUUUUUAUAGCCCUUUCGUUUAAAAAAUCUUUUUAGUUUUGCCAUAUUAGUUGAUGUAUGAUUCUUUAACUGUAUUUACAUUGGAAAAACAAUUGGCAGUGGAAAUAAAAUCAUUAUGAUCUAUUAUUGCUUUUUCAAUGUUAUCAUUUUUUUGUCAUGCUAUAUUGCAUAUUUGCAUUGAGAGCUUUUUUGUCAUGAAAUAAAAUAUGAAGUUUGCAUUUUAUAUACAAAGUAAAUCACACAACAAAAUAGAAACAUAGUAACUUUUAUUGAUGAAAUACAUUAUAACAAUCAAACAUGAUAGUUUUUAUUGAUAAAACACAUUACAGAAUUAAAAACAAACGUACAUAAUAACAUAACAUGACGAUAUACAUAGGGGGCGAGGGAAUUGGAUUCCUCCUCCUCUUUUAUUAAUAGCGACAACGCAACAACCACGACGUUUUUUAGAUAGAGACACUGUUGGGAAUGCCUCUGCAAGUCAAUCCUUCCUCACUAGAAGGAUAAAGCAGAGUGUAAGGCAUCUUCACUGGUCCGUUACGAUUCCUCAGUGUCUCAUCAUUGUUCCUUUGAAUGAGUUUUUGCUCAAUUUCAGCCAACUUCUUUCCAAACCUCUUAAAGGACUCUUUUGGCUGUGAAUCAGAAGUCCAGAGAUCACCUUCAAUUCUCUCUCCAAGGUAUUGCUCAUCAGAAGCAUGCCUUGACAAGACUUCUAUAAUGGUCAAGUCAGUAAGAGUAUCAUUCUUGGGUGUUAUUGUCCUCAGAUAAGACUUCUGGUAGUCCUUAGCAAGCUCAUCAUACUCAGGGGAUCCCUGCUCAGGCAUGAAUCUUCUACUUUUAGUUGGUCGGUUAACGAUAUAUCCUCCAUACGGAUAUUGUCCAAAAUUAACUGCUGCAUGAAGUGCUGAAGCAAUCCAUAUGAGGGUGGUGCAAGCUUCAAUCAACUCCUCACGAGUUUGCAUCUUAAACCACCAUGUAGCAUUCUUCAAGUCACCAUGACCGACCUCUACAAGUUCUUUCCAGAAUGCUUGGAGUUCAGAAUCUUGUGCAAUAGAUGCAUCUGACUUGUAGUAGAAAUUGACAUAUUCAUCAACCCAUGAUUUAAUAGCAGCCCAUAUUUCUAGUCCAUCUGAAGCAUAAGGGUAGUCCUCUAUUAGAAGUCGAAGACCAUAUGCUGAAGUAGGGUCCUCAACGGCCACUCCUCUAUAGAACAAGCAAAGGAAGAUAACAUUAACAUACAAAAAAAAAAGAUAGUUAGGAAAGUUACUUAGAGUUUGUUUGAUUGGUAGUUACUUUGUUGAUUCUCUACUAGCUCUAUACAUGGCUACAAAGUCAAACAUUUACCAUUGAACUGAAACCGUGUGGUAUUAUACUUGAGAUCAAUAUCUUUUUAAAAAACGGACUGAGUCAAGAUGUAAUGUUUUGUAAGGUUACCUUUUGAUUAGAUCAUUAGGUAGGCCUUGCUCAGUGAAAACCCAAUCCUUGUAAACGACAGAAGACAUUUCCAAAGCAUACUUUCCCCACAAGAAAGUUGACUCGAUAAUACCCUCGGCAUUGACCAACACAUUUCGUGCUAGUGCAUUUAUGUUCAUCGUGUCACGAUAAUGUGGAAGCAGAAGUUUAUGAAUAGGGUGAACCACACUUAGAUGCCUAUUUGUUGCUAUGACGAAUGGCUCAACUACAGCAUGAGUGUUCAACCUGUCACACAUUGUAGAUAAAUUUUCAUCAAAUUACUCAUAGAUGUAUAAAAUUUAUUUGAUUGUUUAAAUAUCAUAAACGAAAUUCAUACCAAUGGCUAACAAGUUGGUGAUAACAUGAAUCAUUUACAAUUACGUAAGCCUUGGCAAGGAGCCAAAUUGAAGCUUCAACACCUUCACUUGCAGGCAAGUAAACUUUGCUAACAGGACCAAAACUAUCACCUUGAGGGUGUGGCCUACUUAGUUCAAUGGCCAAUGGCUUCAAAGUUCCAUCAUCUUGCAAGAAAAGAAUGGUUCUAGUAGCAUAGGCCUUAGUCUCGGUUGCAUUUAUUUUCCUCAAAUAUGGAAAGAGUGGGUCGUGGUGAUCCAGUAUGAACAAUUUAUUAUUCUGGAUAGCCUGUUCCACAAAAUAAAAUUUAGCACUGUUGAAUUAUUUUUUUAGAGUAAAGUUGUUGAAUUGGGUAGAGAUUUACCUGUUCUACCGUGACCCCAACCAUGUUUGGCUGCAAAUGUUCUUUGGUUAUGGUGCUGGUAUUAUUACCAAAGAGUUGGGUAUCUAACUUGCUCUUUGGUGGAAACUCCUAAAAUAAAUGUACGAAGCUGUGGUUAAUUAAAACUUAUAAACAUGGCAUGAAAAGUGGGAAAAAUAGCAUUUGUUAGUUUUUCAGUAUUUUCUUAACAAUGUUAAACCAUUAACUUUACCAAGAGUUUUUUUAUGAUGUGUGGAUUCACCCCAGCAAUCAUCUCCCUUGCAAAUUCCUCAUCAGUCAUCCAUGCAGAAUGAUCGACUGUUCAAAAUUAAAAUUUCAAAAGAUCCAUGAACUUUAUUUCUCUGAUAUAUGUUAAUAGUAAUAGGAAUGUGUGACUAAUUAAUAUAAACCUUGAAUCACUUUUGGUGGUGGAAACUUAAGUGCCGCUUCACCAUCAGUUCGGAAAAGUUCCUUGAACAAUGGUAUUGGGCUAAGUUCACUUAGUAUAUCAGUAGGAAGCCUGAUUCCACCUUCAUAGAGCGAGCGCACAUCUUCAAAGGUGUUAAACUCAGGCUCAUGGAAUUGUAAUGUAACUAUAGAUCUUAAUCGAGGUAUGACAUUUUGAGAUGCAGAUUUGAGUAUGUGAACAAGAAAGUCUGAUGACUUUGUGUGUCCAAAUGAUUCAUCUCUUGGGAGGUAAACAGUGUCACUUCGACUCUCACUCUUAGGAUCUGUUCACAAAUACAAUAACAAUGUAUGUUUUAGAAUCAUAAGCAGAGUAAACAUUUGUAUCAACAAAAAGACUUAGUAAACAACAUCAGGGAUAAAAACAUUAGUUGUCAAGUAGAAUACAAUUUCACAUUUUAGUACCAUAUCACUUAAUUUUUGCCAGAAUUUCUUAAAAUAUAACAUACUCAAGUGUUAAGAUAGAACGUAAAGUUAUAACCUUUACGAGCUGCUUUCCUGCCGGUUCUCCCUCUUCGAGGGUAAGGGAGGGUGCUAGAUCCUCCAACAACAGGACGAGCCAAACUAGCGUUCUUGUCCACAUCACCCAAAUCAUUGUAGACAUCAUAAUCAUAUAUUCUUUCCCAUUCCUUACGCUCUCCAGUUCCAUCUCCUCUUAAAGUCUUCAAUUCUUCUUGUCUGUAGUAGACUAAAGGAGCUGGUGUUUCACUUGGAAGGUAUGUCUACAAAAUUGUAGUCAUUGAUUGUGUCAAGUUUUUGGAAAAGAG